RNAcentral lists this long non-coding RNA (50045 nucleotides) under Ananas comosus (pineapple). RNAcentral describes it as "long non-coding RNA (ACOM_LNC002567)". Lineage: Eukaryota; Viridiplantae; Streptophyta; Magnoliopsida; Poales; Bromeliaceae. The record is from RNAcentral.
UUUUAGCUUUUUUUUUUCUCUCCGCUCGCGUUGCCCUCCCGCCCCGCUCUCUCUCUCUCUCUCCACGUCCACCCUCCCCAAUCCCCGCAUCUUCCUCUGUCUCUCUCCGCCGUCCGAUCUCCUCACCGAGAUCCGCCGGGGUUCGCGGAGAGCCUGUACGGCAUUUUCCCCGCGUUUAGGGGGUUCGUUGGGGCCCACCAGCGGAGGCAUCGCGGGUUUCUCUCUCCGCGUUGCCCUCCGCGUCUUCCUCUCUCUCCCCGCCGUCCGAUCUCCUCGCCGAGAUCCGCCGAUCCCGGCAUGAUCCUCCCCCGGGGAGAUCUGCCGAGGAUCUCCCCCGAUCUCUCGCAUCUAGCUUCCAGGCGUUUCGAGGGUCCGAUGAGGUCCACCAGCGAGGAGCGGGGGCGCCGGCGUGGUCGGGCGCGAGCGGGCGCGCGUGCUGGCGCGAGUCGGCGCGGGCCGGGCAUGGGUGACGUGGCUCCCCACCUCUCUCUCUCCGAUCUCCCCACGCGGCACGCGGAUCCGCAGGGAUCCGCGGUGCGAUCUGCGGGGUUUUUUUUUUCCCUCCGCGCUGUCCCCUCUCUCUAUCUCUCUUCGCGAUCCGCCGUCCGAUCUCCCUGCCGGGAUCCGCGGUCUCUCCGACCUCCCAGCGGGAUUCGCGNGCGGCACGCGGAUCCGCAGGGAUCCGCGGUGCGAUCUGCGGGGUUUUUUUUUUCCCUCCGCGCUGUCCCCUCUCUCUAUCUCUCUUCGCGAUCCGCCGUCCGAUCUCCCUGCCGGGAUCCGCGGUCUCUCCGACCUCCCAGCGGGAUUCGCGGCACGAUCCUCGCCGGUGUGAGAUCUGGCGAGGAUCUCUUGGCCACCGCCUCGCCCCCGCCUCUUUCUCUCCUAUCACGCAUCUCUCUCUCUCUCCGAUCCCGCCUCUCUCUCUUCGAUCUCUCUCCGAUCUCCCCACAGGAAUCCGCGCUCAAAUCUCUCUCCGAUCUCCCUGCCGGGAUCCGCGCACCUCCUGCGCUCUCUCCGACUCCUGCCGGGAUCCAAGGUGCGAUCUUCGCCGGUGGGGAUCUGGCGAGGAUCUUCUUCUCCUCUUCCCCCUCCCCAUCGCGCGCCCUCGCAAGCCCCCUCGCCCUCUCCGUUGCGCCCGCUCCCUGUUCGACCAAAUGCCGAGCCGAUCGCGGGGCGCUCCGCGGGCAUCGAGAGGUGGGGCGCGGCGCCGGGGGUGGGGGUGGGGGUAGAGAUAGGAUUUGGGUGAGGAUCCGUCGCCGAAGGCAGCAGCGGUGGUGGCGCGCUACACGGUGGGGCCCAUCUCCGUGUCUGCGACUUCAAGUGAGUUCUAAUUUGCUUUCCUUUUUUUUCCCCUUUCAAGAAGAUCAGUAUAUAGUUCAUUGGAUUAGAAAAGAUUAUUAUAUGUUUAUACAUAUAUGAUUUGUUGUUCCUGGUGUGAAUGUUGUAUUGGAGAAUUCUUAAUCCUAAGUUUGUGAAUGUGUGCCCCAAAAACGCGGUUGAUUUGAUGCUUUUGGGCAUUUUUUUGGCUCGCGGUAGGGCUUAAUGAAGCAUUGUCUGAGAUCAAAGUGGUGGCGCGCUGCACGCCGUACAAUCCCAUCGACAGCGGCGACGGCGCCGCCCCAGCAAGCUUCGCAGCGGAGCUCGGCCUCUUCACCUCAGUGCUUGGCGACGGGGGCAACGAGAUUGACGCAUCCUCCUCUUUCAAAUCACUCAAUCCAACUGUACGACCCUCAAAUUUCCAAUUCCCACUAAACUUAAACGUAAUUUACAUCAAUACAGCAAUGAUUCUUCUUACUGCUGUUUAUUAGGUUUGUUUAAUUCAUAAAUAUCCUUUCCAUGCAUUCUUAAUAAAUUUAUUGCUACUUGCUGAGGACCUAGCUACCUCUAGGACCCUCAUUUACCAAGUGAUUAGAAUCAUAGAUCUUGCGCAGGAUAGUGUAUAAUCAGGAUGCUGCGAAAUGCAAUAUGUCAUAUGUUGGAUUCGUCUUUAUUUUGUAUAUUCUAUUUAAUUAUUUUCAUAUAACAUGAUUAUUAGUAUUUUCAAUGUGUUUCGGAUUAUUCAUUAUCGAUAAUUUCAUGGUCAUAGUUCAUGAUUCUUAAUUAUCUGUUACUGUUGUUUUUGAAUGCUUAUUAAUUAUUAUUUUGUCCGCCGACUAUUCUGUUGCUCUUAUUUCUCAAUGCUGUGAUGACCUCUCCCUUAAAUGGCAAGCACAUUAGAGAUAGCAAGAAAGGUUGAAAUUAGGUAGAAAUAAGCAUUGAAAAUAGUGGAAAAGUUUAUUUUUCACUAUACUUUUUUAAAUCUUUUUUCCUUUGGAACCUAAGAUGAUAGUAAUGGUUUACUAAAAAAGAGGUCGAUCCAGCUAUCAAAACAUCUUAAAGGUGGCAAAGUUUUCUUAAAAACCCAAACUUCAUUAAAUAAGUUUUUAUUUGUUGCAUAAUAUUGUAGAUUUUAUUUCUUUUGGAAUUAUUGUGUUUUUCUUUACAGUUAUGACGCUGCUCUUGAAAUUUAAAAAUUUAUUCGAAAACCCAUGUGCUAAAAAACAUCAUCUUAGUUAACACAAAAUAUAGAAUUUCUUUCUCUUCAAAUUUUUAAUAUAUAUAUAUAUAUAUAUUAUUUAUACAUGUGAAAUUUUAAUGUUAAAUCAUUUAUUUGUAUUUUUUGUUUCAGUUAAGCUACUGGAUCGUAUUUCAAUUGUACUAAUAUUGGUCAUCUUAGGUUAUCUGUAUUUGUUUCAUUUUAGGCUUUUUUUCUCUAAAAGUUAUCAUAUUUUUUCCUUCCCUUUAUUAGUUACUUCAUAAUUUUGUGCCUCCUUUUGUCUUAUUUCAAGUGAUGAUGAUUCACAACUUUGGCAUCAUCUUUUGUGUUAUUUCAGGUAAUGUCCUGUGAACUCAAGUACUGCUUUUUAUAUGUUUUUUUUUAAUUUUUUACAUUGUGAUGAAGCUCAACUGAAAUCUUUGGCAGAGGAAAUGCAAGCAGUAAGCAAAGGACCGGAGAAAGUUGAACAAGAAUUAACUGCAUCUGAGAACGAUGGUCGUGUGUCCGAGACUUUCCGCAAGGUAUACUGAUGCGCAAUUAUUUCGACCUUUUGCUUCCUUCAUUACAAAGUUUAUUAGUUUGUUAGUCUGAUCGUCUUUGCUUCUGCCUUUUGGCCACUGUUAGCUUAAUUUUGUCCCACAAAUUCUUCCAAUGUUUCACUAAGAUGUUAGAGAGCAAUUUGUUCAGAAUCCAAAGCAAGCCCCUAAAGAGUGAUAUCACCAUAAGACAGCCGUGACCGGUGUGUUUUUAGGAUACAACUUCAUGAGUAUUAAGUGAAAUCAAACUCGGUUGUGGUUUGUGAUUUGUCUCUUAUUUAUUCAUUUUAUGUAGGGGCCUGCGCAAUAACUGCUUUCUUUUCUUCAGACACUGAAGACUUUUCUUAAUGUUGCUGAAGCUGAAGUUAGGGCUUUAACUUCGUUGUAUUCUAACGUGGUGAGUAUGAGAUUUUUCACAAAACAGGAUCUGAAGAUGUUUUGAGAUACAACUCUUUCUCAGUUAAGAUUUAAGUUCUUGAGAAAUUUAUCAUACUUAAACAUAACAGGGGAGGAAUGCUGAUGCUUUAGCUCUUUAUUUUGGAGAAGGUCCUGCCCGCUGUCCAUUCGAGCAAGGUGAGUGUUGUGUCGGUGCAUCAAAUUUGCUUCAAAAGACCUAAGUUUCCAAAUUUGAGUGCCAUAUUAAUAGCUUCGUAUACUAAAUCAUAUGUCUUCGGCGUAUCAUCUGGUAGUAUUUAAACUGAUUCUUUUCAUGCCUUUAUAUAUACCUCUACCUGCUUGCUACCUGUGGCUUGCUUACUGUUUUUUUUUUUUUUCCUUGACUAAUUUUUUCUAUGUACAUCGCAUUUCUACCCGAGUUUUUAAACUGUCUCACAUGUAUUCUUUUCAAAAGAAAAUUUCAUCUUAAUUAUUUAUGCGAGCAGCGAGGAGAAUUUAUUUUCUCUCUUUUGUUUUUAGCUUCCUAUAUGCAUAAAAAUGGGUUCUAUCCAUUCAGUUCUAUCUGGAAAUAUCACUAUCAUAUCCCUCAUUUGCCUCCUUUUGUUGUGCAGUGGUCUCGACGCUUUGGCCUGGUCAUAUAUAUAUAUCCCUUUCUACUCUUUUAUAUAUAUAUAUAUAUAUAUAUAUAUAUAUAUUCCCCACUAGCUAUAUUUGUCUAUGAUAAUUAUUGGCUGUGAAUGAUACCCGCCUUAACCUAUCAUAGAAAGAAAUCAACAUCAAUCCUCAACCAAUACCAACAUCUCUUCAUCAAGCAUUAAUCAAGCAUCAAACUAAGCUAUAAUCAAAUUAGAAGUAAGGAGAUUAGGAAAGGUAUUUACAGAAUUUGAACAACACAGUUUAUCAGCAGGGAAAUAGGUAGAGGUGAUAAGUAUUAUAGAUGUUAGAGAUUGACCUUUCUAUACUUCUUUCCCUCUUCUUUGUUUUGGUACUUAUCGAAUGUUAGUUCUUGAAAUGCCUUUUGAGGCAAUGAUGAUGUGAAGGAAAAAAGAUAAGAGAUUUGGACGGUCUAAAGCCCUUGCCGACCAUCUCUUAAGUUUGCUAUUUCCUCUGCUGAUUGCCUUACGAUAGUAGAGCGAGUCUCUUUAUACUUCACAUUGCAGAUUACUGGUGUUGCUUUAAAACAACUCUGAAGAAUAAGAAAGGUUAUGUUGCACCGAGCCCACCACCUACCCGUCGCGACGGCUGCUCCUCACUCCUCCUCCUCUGCCUGACCCGCCACUAGUCCGGCGACCCUCCCUCGAUCCUACCUUCCUCCGUACCGUCCGGUUAUUGCGCGCCCAUCGCCCGUCGGCCAUGGCCUCCCUCUUGAUCGCCUACUCUGCCAUGAGGGCACACCCCGCGACCGCCAGCUCAUUCGCACCAGCCUUGCCGCGUUCCUGCCGACUCGCCCACGCCGCUCAAGCCCCGCCCUUUGCCCCCGGGACUCGCGCGCGUCGGCCGCCGCCGCAAGCGUUUCGUCCACGCACCACCAGCUCGACGACGUCCACGCGUCAAGAACGCCAUGGGCUGCGUGAGCGCUCUCCCUUCAUCCUCCCCCCGCCUCUCUCGAUCUAGGCUUUUCUCUACUUACGGAAUUUGUUUGGUGAUCGAUCAUGCGCGGCGAUUGAUCCGAAAUUUGAUUGACUCUUCUUCGUUUACUCCUAGACCGUGAAUAAUGUGUUGGUGGAGUUACGUCGGCGGCCUUUCUCGCUACAUCAGCAGGAAUUUGGUGAGUACAGUGUUCGACGUAAUUACUAGUGUUGAAUCUUGUGAUAAUCCCUGUAUUUUUUGUUUUGUUUGUUUUGUUUUGAUAAUACAAUUUUAGUCUUCAUCACAUUGCUUUUCUCCAUCUCGCUCAUAGAUAGUUUCCUGAUCUCACACAUUUUUGCAGCGCCAUCAUUGGUUUCAAUUUGUAGGUCGUAUGAACUCGCCAUGUGAAUAACAAUAAUAAUGCAGAAGACGAUUUUAUCCGAAUUGUGCAUCUUCGACGUGAUUGAACAUUCGAUAAUUCUAUCGGUCCUGCGUUCUGCGCAAGACACCGAUUAAUCUUUUUAGUGAAAAAUUUAAGGAUCAAAUCAUAAUUUGUGAAAAGUCAGUAACUAGCUUGUAUGUAAUCUUACUUUUACUGCAGUGUUGCUCUCUUCGUCUUCUCUGCUUCUUCGGUGAUUGACAAAUUUUGGCUAUGUAAUUGUUCCGCAUGUGAAACAGAUGACGGAAAAAGAGAAAAACUGCUAGCCGAACCUUCGAGUGAGAUCAGACCACUCGUCCAAUGUUCGUCCUAUACAGUAGAUCAUGCAAGUGCUUUACCUUCUCACUAAACGUAAAUUUUCUUUUCCUUGUUAGGUUAUUGUAUUAUGGAUCUUUAGAACUAAUCAUAUUGUUUAUUCAUAUAAGUAGGAUUUGGCGGAGAUGCAUGAAAGGCGGAAGAUGGGCCGAAUGGGGGAAUUGGAUCGUGCGACCUCGAAGGAUAUUAGUAAAUAUUGACAAAAAAUAAAUCUAUGCCAUGAUAAAGGUAAGUAUCAAGAACCAAUACGCUUUGAGAAACAUUUAGGGCCACAGUAGUAAAUACGCCAUAAAGGACAGAAACCUAAGGAAGCUAUCGCCGGUAUUGAACCUCUUAAAGAUGGACCUUCAAUUUCAUACGCAGAUUGCUCAAUAGAAGAUCCAAUUACGAACAGUGAAUUUUCAAUAGAAGAAGGUUAACAGUAUCAAAAGAAGAUCAAUUAACGAACAGUGAUUAUCAAUAAAAAAAGCGUUAUAGUUGUCGAGAGAGAAAGGAAGGUUGCGCACAAAUCCAGAGUCAAUACUUCAGGGUUGACUCUUUUUUCGAGGAUGAGCCCAUCGUCUUGUAAAAAGUAAUUCGGAUACAACAAAAUAAAAAAAAUGUGCGCAUUGCUUUAGAGAAACGUAAGCGGGAACACAAUUAAUUCCCUACAGCCGCGGAGGCACGUGCGUGACCGUUCGAUUGGGUUCUGUAGCUGAUUAUUAUAGGCGAUAGCACAUAGGGUCUCCGGGGAAUGAGAUGCGAUCACCUUCUCUUUUUUGCUCCUCUUUUUUGAAGAAAUAGUGAUUGGAAAUGCCAUCGGCGCUGAGGAUCAGAAACAAUUUUUGUAAUCCUUUUACAUCAAUUAGGAUAAUCGCAUUAUCUCUUUGUUAAAAGCAUGUUCGGUCGAGUUCGUUAUUCUUGCAAACAACUUGGUAAAUAUUGAAAUUUUAAAAAACACUAUUUAGGAAUCUCAUAUUUUGAGCACUCGUGAUCGCGGAAACUGAGACUAUUCGCUCCUCUUCACCCCGAGAAUGGGGCUGCGCGCGCCGCCCGCGGAUCAAAGGCGUCACUGCACCCGGCCACCGAGGCUUCAAUAUACUUAUCUCAAAGCGUUGCAAGAUGAACGAACUCGCCAGACAUGCUUUUAACAAAGGAUAAUGUCAGAUCAUCCUAGAUUGAUUAGUAAGGCCACAUUACCUAAAAUUGUUUCUGAUCCUCAGUCGCCGAUAGCACAUUCCAAUCUACAUCUUCUUCCAAAAAGGAGGAAAGAAGAAGAAGGUGGGAUCGCACUCGUUCCCUUGAAGAACCCCUGUCCUAUCGAUAAAAAUCUUCUACAAUGAAGCCAACUCGAACCGGUCCGAACGCGUGCCCAUCCGCCGCUGUAAGGAAUUCAAUGUUCUGCUGCUAUACGUUUCCCUCUAACAAACAAUCGACCAUUUUAUUUUCCUUUUGUUGUAGUCCGAAUACUUUUUUACAAAGACAGCGUUCUCUCAGAAAAGAGUCAUCCUAAAGCAUGACUCUGUAAAGAUUUGCGCAACUUCCUGUUCUCAUCCGACAAUAUAAACCUUGUUGUCAUUGAGAAUAUCACUGUUCGUUAAGGAUCUUCUUGAUACAGUAACCUUCUUCAUUGAGAAUCACUGUUCGUAAGAUCUUCUAUUAGAGAUGGCAAUGAAUUGAAAGGUCAUCUUUAAGGGGUUCAAUUCCGAGCGUAUAGCUCCUUAGGUUUUCGCACUUUUGGCGUAUUACGAUUAUGCACAAUAAUUUUUCCAAAGCAGUAAUUGUUCUUGAAUACCUGUAUCAUGCAUAGGUUUAUUUUUUCUGCAAUAUUAUACUACAUAUCAACUUGGAGAUUUCGCUCGAUCCAUUCCCAUUUCGCCCAUCCUUCGCCUCAUUCAUCAUCUUCCGUCAAUCCAAACUUAUAUUGUAAAACAAUAAUGAUUAGUUUCUAAAAGAUCCAUUAUAAACUAAAAAAGAAAAAAAAAAUGUAGUUUAGGUGAGAAGUAAAGCAUUUCAUGGAUCACUGAUGUAGUUCGAUACAUGACAGAGUAGUGAUCUACUCGAAGGUUCGCUAGCAUUUUUUUCUCUCUUUUUUCUGUAUGCUGUUUCACAUACAACAAUUACAAGAAAAUUGCAAUCAACGAAGAAGAAGAUAAGAAGAAGAAGAGCCUAAACUAGCAGUAAAAGUGAAUAUAAACAUACCACAGCUAGUUACCUGAACUUUUCACAAUAUUGAUUUGAUCAUAAAUUUUUCACUAAAAAGAUUAAUCAGGUGUCUGCGCAGUAACGCUGUGACCGAUAGAAUUACGAAUGUUCAUUCCAUAGUCGAUACCACAAAUUGUACGAUAAAAUCGUCACCCGUGCAAUUAUUGUAUUCACAUGGCGAUUUCAUACGACUAAAAUGGAAACCAAUGAUCGGCGUGCAAAGAUUGGUGGAGAUCAGGAAAUAUCUAUUAGGCGAGGAUUGGAGAAAAGCUGUGAUGAGCUAAAUUGCAUUAUCAAAAACAAAAAAAAAUACAGGGAUUAUCACAGUAUUCAACACUGUACAACAUUACGUCGAACACCUUGUAUCACCAAUAUUCCUGGCUAGUAAGCGAGAAAGGCCCGACGUCACCCCACCAACGACACAUUCGACGGUCUAGAGUAAAACGAAGAAGAGAUCAAUCAAAUUUUCGGAUCAUUCGUCGCGGAAUCUGAUCGCUCACACAGACAAUUCCAUAUAAUCGAGUGAGAAAAGCCUAGAUCGGGGGAGGAGGAGGAAGCGGAGAGUACUCAGCAGUCCCAAUGGCUUUGACGCGCUGACGUGCCGUCGAGGAUGGGUGCGGGUGGACGAAACGCUUGCCCAGGCUGGGGCCGACGCGCGCGCAGUCCCCGGGGGGCAAGUAGGCGCCUUGAGGCGUGGUGUUAAAUGCGGCGAGUAAUGUCGGCGAACACGCGAGCGUCGACGAGGGUAUUCCACGCCAUGGCGAGCAGGGAACCAGAGCCGAGUAGAGGCCUGGCGAGGGCGAGGCGCGGGUGGACGGGGAGGGAGGGAGGGCGAGGGGUCGCCCGGCGCGGCACUGGCACCCAGCGAGACGAUGGAAUGUGAGCCGAGGCGUCGUCGCCGAGAGUGGUGGUCGUGCAGGCGAGCGCCGGCGCGGAGGGGUAGUGGAGGUUGAGGAUGUGGAGGCUCCCACAGAACCGUCUCGUCUAUGGAGGCGCGCGAGAGCGCUGAGGACGAGUCACUCCACCCCCGCUCGCCGGCUGCAGCCGGCGAAGAGGCAACAGAGAGGGGACGAUGACGUGGCGUCCAACGUCGACCCUACCGGACCCUCCCACGCGGCUUCUUCCCGCGCGCUCCAUCGUCAAAACACCUAAAACUCCGAUAAAACAAAAAAAACAAAAAAUAAUAAAUAAAAUAAAAAUAUUAUUUUAAUAAAUAAAUUAAAUAUAAUAGUGCUUUGAAUUUUUAAAAAAUAUUAAUUUUAGCAAAAUUUUGAACAUUACACUAUCUAUUUGCAAUGGUCACAAAUUUCAAACUAUCUAUCUUUCUUGUAACAAUUUCUUGUAAUUUUUGUUUUCCGAGGAGCCCGUCCGCAGAGGAGUGGUAGGCUACGAGCACGGCGAGGCGGCGGGCGAGUGGGGUGGUGGAGGUUGAGAAUGUGGAGCGCCCACAGAAGCAGGUCGCUGCCAUCGAGCGCGGCCGGAGCGCCGCGCGAGGACGUAGUCCUCCACCACUGCGUCGCUCCGGCAGCGCCGGCGAGGGGAGCAACGAGAGGUGCGGGGAUAUGAGACGUGGCGUCCACGUCAGCCCACCGACCCGACCGACCGGCUUCUUCUGACGCUAUCCGUUCAAACACCUAAACCUCGUUAAAAAAAAAAACCAAAAAAACAAAAUAAAUAAAAUAUUAUUUAUCAAAAAAUAAUAAAUAAUGCUUUCGAAUUUUUUAAAAAAUAUAUUAAUUUAGCAAAAUUUUGAACAUUACACAUCUAUUUGGCGAAUGGUUCAAAAUAUUCAAAACCACUAUCUUAUAUAACACAAAUCUUCUGUAUUUUUGUUUUUCCGUUUUUUUUUUUAAAAAAAAAUUUGAGUAGCUGCAGAAAGUAAGGAUUUAAAAACUCUAUCGAAACAGUUUUAUAGAAAGUAGUUUCUUUAACCUUUUGACACCGAUAAAAUUAAAAAUUUAUUUUAACUGUUUUAAACAGAUAGUUCAGCAAGUGAAUCGAUAAAUCAGAUCCGAUUUUGUCAGCAAACUAUAACAAAUUUGUUUGUUUUUAAUUUAUUCUUCACAUUUUUUUUAAUUUUAUUUAUAAUUAAUUGUUGUUGAUUUUAUUUUAUAUUAUGAAAAGUGAAUUUAAAAACUUAUUAUUUAAUAUUAGUCUAGUACAUAAUAUAAUUAUUAUUAUAAUUUAUAGUAAAUAGUAGUAAUAUAAUAUAUUACAUAAUAAAAAAAGUAUUUAAAUAGAAAAUUAAAUAUUUCAACGUUAUGUUGGCGUUACCGGAUUGAAUCGGUGUUGAACUAUUGAUUGAUCCAAAAAUAAUUUCGGAUAGCGAAUUAGUCUGUUUUAAAAGAUUAGUCACAAAAUACUGGGGACUAUAAAUUAAGUAUAACUUUUUAGCAAUUAAAAUGGCAAAAGUGGGAAAAUGAGUGAACCUCACAACAUCAUUUAAUUGAGAAAUUAAUGAUAUGAUGGUUACAUAAAAGCUCAAAAGUUAAAUUGAUCCAUAAGCGCAUACAAUAAAAUAUAGGGCAAUUUCAUGGAUACCCCUCCACAAGUCUAAAUAUCAUAGAUCCCUGUAAAGUUUAAAAUAAUCACCCAUACCCUGUAAACACAAAAAAUUAUCAUCAAUACCUUCAUUUUAAUUAUGUUAGCUUUACCCAUAGUUAUUAAAAUGUUUAAAGAUGUUAAAUUUUAAAAUACUAUUAUUACCCCUCAAAUUUUUUUAAGUUAAAAUGUAUGGAGAACCCCUCAAUAUAUGCCAUUUUGAAACAGCUCUCUCAACUUUCAUUUUUUAGUUGAUAUCCAUUAGCUUUAGUUUUUAAAAAAAUUAACUAAUUCAAUGUAGUGUAUGAAAAAUGAGUAGUUUUUUAGUUUUUUUGAUAUUUCAACAAAAAUCUAGUGGCCACUAUUUAUAUUUUAUCGAAUAAAUAAGUAUAUAUAAAAUUAAAUGAAAAAAUGUUAAGGAAUUAUCCGUAUUUCUUUAAUGUUGAAGAGCUUAAAUUUUUUUUUAAUCAAAAUAUUCUUGAUAAUUUUAUCUGCAUUAAACGCAUUAAAAAACUAAAAUAUAAUAUAUUUUAGCUUUUGAACAAAACUCUCUUUUUGUUUCAAUCGACAGAACAAUGCUUGCAUAUAGUUAUGUGAUUUACUUUUGCUUAAAUAGGAAAAAAAAUAAAAUCUAUAAUUUAUUUCAAAAUUACUAUUACUACUGAACCUGAACCGAAAUCCAAAACUAAAAACAAAAACAAAAUCAGAUAAAAACAUACUAUAUAUAAAAUAUAAUUUUUAUAUAUUUUUUAAUAAUUAAUAUAUAUUAAUAAUUUAAUUUAAUAUGUAUAUAUUAAAUACUCAAAUUUAGAUUUACAAAAAAUAUCUUGAAAUACCUAUUAGUAUUUCUACUAUUAAUAAGAAAUAAAGGGUAAAAAUGGUAUUUUGAAAAUUUAACUCCUUUUCAGAUGGGAUUUAACGAUUUUAACUAAUGAGGGGUAUUUAUGAUAAUUUUAAACAUAUUGGAGGGUAUUUGUGAUAUUAUCAAUUUUAGAAGGGUAUUGAUGAAAUUAAUAGUUUUUAGAAGGGCAUCUAUGAAAUUAUUCCUAAAAUAUAUAUAUACAUAUUUUUAUUUUAUUUUUUUAUGCAUAUAUAACUAUAAGAUGAUUAAUAUUUUGGCUUUUUGAUAAAUACAUACAAAUUUUUUUAAACAAUAUAGAUAAAUUAUGUAUAAUAGAAAAUUUUUUCUUAAAUAUAUAAACUAUUAAUAAAAAUUUUUUUAAAUUUCAUUCGUAUGAAAAAUAUAAUAAUAUUUUAUUAAAAUUAUUAUUUUAUAUACGUACAAUAAACAUUUAUUAUUAUAUUAAUAGAUUAUAUUUUAUUAGUAAUAUUUAUAUUAUAUUCGUGUCCUGAAUUUUGAAAGCUAUCAAAUCACCCUAUUCAAGUCAUGUCUUAUUCCACGUCAUUAUCUGUCGUGUCGUAUCCCACAUCAUUGUUUGUGACACCUAGUUUGCAAGUAAGGAGGGUUAAUGAUUAGGUUUAGACAACAACAAAAGGUUUGCAAUAGCUGCUUAGGUUGGCCUGUCAGUGUCAAAGUUGACAAUUUUCAUAACACAAUGAUUUGAUGCACUUAAAAGAACCAGACUUAUGUCAAAUUAUUGGCGCUAAUCAUUUAUUCUAAAAAUUUAAAUUAUUAAAAAUAUACGAUCAAUUCAAUUUAAUAUACAAACACAAUAUUCACGAAUUUCGAUUGUGACUCGAUCAAAUCAUUCUUACACUACUUCAUACGUAACUCGGCCCGUGACAACAAAAUAAGUUUGUCGCACCAGAGAUCAAGUGACUUAGCAAAAAUAACAUAAUUUGCUGAAGUGACAUUCAUAGCAGAUUAUUAAACCUAAUUUGCUAGUUACUGUAUUGUGCCAGCUGAAGUUGCAGAAUAUCUAUGGUUAGAAAACAUUUUGGAAAUAUAUAUAAAACGGCACCCCAAUAAAACUGACCUGGUCAUAGUGAAUGCUAGCCUUGUCAAAGCGCUUGCAUAUAUCCUGCAACAAUAUUAUACAACGCAUAAUACUACAUUACAAUUUUUAACAGCAAAAGAAAAGGAUGGAAAAAAAAAAGAAGAAGAAGAGGAUAUCCUAAUAACAGAAAAUAACAAGUGCACCUUAGUAUCAUGCAUUCAUGCAAAUCUAUGUCUACAAAUUCCAGCCGUCUGUCAUUUAACGCGUGCUCAAUCUGUAAGACAGAAAAGUAAAUGAAGCUUGCAAAAUAAAAAAAAAAGGGAAAACUUCAAAAAACCCCUUGUGGUUUCAAUUUUUUUCACUUUAGAACCAUAUGGUUUAAAAUGUAUCAAGUUAGUACCCUGUGGUUUCUCACUUUAUCACUUUAGUACCCUGUGGUUUAAAGUGUAUCAAGUUAGUACCUUGUGAUUUUACACUUUAUCACUUUAGUACCCAGUGAUUUUAAUUUUGUAUCAAAUUAGUACCCUGUGGUUUUUUAAAUCACAGGGUACUAAAGUGAUAAAGUGUGAAACCACAGGGUACUAACUUGAUACAAAAUUAAAACCACAUGGUACUAAAGUGAUAAAGUGUAAAACCAUAAAGUCCUAACUUGAUACACUUUAAACCAUAGGGUACUAAAAUAAAAAAGUGUGAAACCACAUGGAGGGUUUCUGAAGUUUUCCCUAAAGAAAAGGAUAUACAGGCAUUUUAUUUAAAAGAAAUGAGAACAACAGAAAGGAAAGUAGAUUUAUUUAUGUUUUCUAAUGAUAAGCUUACUCAAAUUUGGCGGGGUCGUCUCAACUUUGAAAUUUUGGCAGAACAAACAGAUUCUUGAAAUAAAAAUAUUUUGUUCUGAUAAAAUAAACGAAGCGAGUAACAUGCUACCUAUUUCUAAAAAAAAAAAAAAAAUGCUUUGUUAUGAUUACUGCCAAAAUACUUGAGGUUUCAAUCUUGGCUGGGGUGUGUUUGUUUUGAUAUAAAAGUAGGUUGAAAUAAUUUUUCGAUCGAAAAAUUAUUUGCCGAUGUUUGUUUCAAUGUAAAAAGAAGUUCGCGGAAAACACUUUUACAUAUUUUUGUUUUCCACGAGAGAGAGAGAGAGAGAGAGAGAGAGAGAGGGACAAAAAGGGAGGGGAAAAGUACAAGGGGAGGGAGAGAGGGGUGGAAUUGGAGAAAAAUAGAAAAAGAAAAAAUAAUUAAGAAAAGGUAAAAAUGCAUCCAGGGCCAAUAAGUUUAGGAUAUUUUGAAAUUCCCUCAAAACUUUUCUUUCGGGAUCCCUCAUCUUUCAAACAAUCUGAUUCAUAUCAAUCUAACGAGGUUUUUUUAAAAAAAUAAGUAUAAUAAUAUUUAUUAAAAUUAGAUUUUUUUAUUAAUUUUUUAGUUAGUAUAAAUGUUGAUUUUGAAAAAAAAGAAAUUCUAGUUUAGAUGACUAAAAUAAGAUGAAAUGUAUUGGAGCCCCUUAACUGUAGACCAUUGCGGCACAACUCUUUCAAUUUUUUUAAGUCAAAAGUCUCUUAAUUUAUUUAUUUUCUAUAAUUAAAGUGAUUUUAGAAAAAUAAAUUUAAAACCUUAUUAGAUUUAUUAAUAAUUGUAUUAAUUUUAGUGGUUUAUCUAUAAUAUAUUUAGUAGAUACAACUUUUUUAAACUCUCUCUCUCUCUCUCUCUCUCUCUCUCUCUCUCUAGCCAUAAUUUUAUUUUGAGAGAUGUGAAUGUUUGCUAUGUGGUCAUGAGGGCAACUCAUCUCCAACUAUAGUUGGCACAUUCUAUGCCAAUUUUAGAUGUGUCCUUUUCAUUAAUGAUCUCAUGGUUUGACUUAUUUUUUUCCCUUUCCUUUGUGGUGUAGAUAAACCUCAUACAUGUGAAAUUGAAAGAGGUGUCAAUUGUUGAAUACAAAAUAUUCAAUUUUUGUUUUAUGAUAGUUAAAUGUUUACAAUAAUGAAUAAGUUGUUUUAUAUGAUAUCUAAUGAGGUUAUGAGAUUAAAUUUUUUAUCAUAUUCUAAAGUGUCCUUUUAAUUAAAGUUUUCCAUGCUCAAAAUUGCAUGUGAAAUUGGCUCAUGCACCAAUUUGGGGGUUUUUUUGGAUUUUUUUUUUUUUUUUUCAUGUAGCUAGAUGGGAUUACUUUGUUUCCUAUCUCUUCCACUUGUUGGAUAAGACAUAGCAAAAUUCAAUGGAGGUGAAUGUGUUGACCAAAUAUAUACUAGGAAAAAAAAAAUUGUGUGGAAACUUAACUUUAUUCAAUUUUGAAAUGGCCCACUCAACUUUAACUUUUCUUUAAAUAUUAUUUUUCCAAGUUUUACAUGCUUUAAAUUAAUUAGUUUAGUAAAUUAAAUAUUUUAUCAGACAUAUGAAUAAUUCUAUUAUUCUAAUUAAAGUGAAUUAACUAUGUCUAUCUAGUAGCAAAUGGAACCAUAAAUUAUUCAAAUUAAUUGUCCAACUUGACUAAAUAAAAUAUAGGGAAAACUUCAAAAAACCCCCAUGUGUUUUCACACUUUUUUAUUUUAGUACCCUAUGGUUUAAAGUUUAUCAAGUUAGUACCCUGUGGUUUCUCACUUUAUCACUUUAGUACCAUGUGGUUUAAAGUGUAUCAAGUUAGUAUCCUGUGGUUUUGCACUUUACCACUUUAGUAACCUGUGGUUUUAAUUUUGUAUCAAGUUAGUAUCCUGUGGUUUUUUAAAUCACAUGGUACUAAAGUGAUAACGUGUGAAACCACAAGGUACUAAAGUGGUAAAGUGCAAAACCACAGGGUACUAACUUGAUACACUUUAAACCACAGGGUACUAAAGUGAUAAAGUGAAAAACCACAGAGUACUAACUUGAUAUAUUUUAAACCACAGGGUAUUAAAGUAAAAAAAAAAAAUUGAAACCACAAGGGGGGUUUUUAAAGUUUUCCCUAAAAUAUAUAACUCAAAUGAAAAUUUUGAAAACUAAAAGUAUAUUAAUAAAAAGAAAGUAAAGUUGAGGAUCUAUUUCAAAAUCAAAUUGGAUUAUAGUUGAGUGGCCUUCAUAUGCAUGCAUACAAUUUUACCUAUAUUUAUAUUAAAAAAUAGAAAAGCAAUGGGCACAUAGGGUCACUGUUUCUUUUAAACAGCUCUAUGUAGAAAAAAAGCGUCAUUUGACCCAUCUCAUCAGAAAAGACCCAACUUCUAAUUGUUUGAUGUGUCUAUUUGUGAUUGGCUCAAUAUCAGCAAUUUAAUUAUAAUGCUCUUUAUUGAAAUAUUUGAUUUCGCACAAAAUAAUUUUCAGUAGAAAAAAGGAAUUUCGUGUAUUUUUUAAGAAAAAUAUUUGCAAACCGAAAACUGAAAACUACUCUCUUUCUCUUUCCUGACUCCCUGUUAUUUUCUUCUUUUCGUAUUGUUGCAAAACUCCAAAGUGUUUUCAUUUUAUACUGAAAAAAUCACCAAUAAAUUGAAAACAUAUGAAACAAAUAAAAAAAACAACACCAUAUAUAUUUCCUAGGAGAAUAUUUGGAAACAUAGCUUUUGGACAAAAUCUUUGAUGGAGGUGUCCUAUCUCCACUUUCAUUGGCUCCUAAUUAGCAAAAGUGGGUUGUGGGCUCAAAAAAAUUGCAAAUAAAGGAGUACAUAAUUUGUACUAGUAGGAGCAAAAGUGGGAUCUAUUAUCUAUAUAAAUCAUUGCACUUUAGUGGGUUAGCACACAAAGAUCACUCCUUGGGAAAAGAAGGAUUUGGUGAACACCGUUUAGAAAGAUUAUGUACCUAUGGGUGUGACAAUUGAGUGAGCACCAAAUAUUGGAGGGACAAAUGCAUAUAGAGAGAGAGAGAGAGAGUUGAACUGGAAAGCUAUCAGUAGCAAAUAAUAUUGAUCAUCGAUUUGGAGGCUCUAUUAUCGAAAAUAAAUGGAUGAUAACAGAGGUCAUUGAGAGAGAGAGAGUUGAACUGGAAAGUUAUCAGUAGCAAAUAAUAUUGAUCAUCGAUUUGGAGGCUCUAUUAUCGAAAAUAAAUGGAUGACGGCAUAGCUCAUUUACUACUAAUAGCAUUUUCACUCAAAUCUCUCUCUCUCUCUCUCUCUCUAUAUAUAUAUAUAGCUAGUUUACUAUGCUAUUAAUAAUACCAAGUUAUUGGCACUAUUAGAUUUUCUUUCCUUAGAUAAAGAGAUGUGCGAUUAGAAUAAUAAUGAUCUCUUAGAGUUGAGUGGGUGGAUGGUUGAAUAGUAUGAUCUAACGGGUGAAAAUGGUUAAAGGGAUAGAUUUAACGACGAAAAAUUUGUUAACAUUAAUUGCUUAAUGCUAUUGAUAGUACAGUAGCCGAACUCUCUCUCUCUCUCUCUCUAUAUAUAUAUAUAUAUAUAUAUAUAUAUAUGUAUAUAUAUAAAUAUAUGCAUGUUGUGCGCUAGAGUUGACUUGUGUAUAUAUAUGCACGAGAGAAGACAUAAUUAAGUGGGAUUUUUAUGAAUGGUACUUCGUGUAUAGUUUUUGCUAUAGUUCUUUGCCAUCUUAUACCUUUCUCAGCAAAAAUGUUCUUAUGAAAAAUGAAUACAUAUUUGAUUUGAAUAAUUCAAUUUAGAGCCAAUGAAAGUUGAUAGCGUUCUUUCAAAAAAAAAGAAAAAAGAGUUAAGAAAGUCUCAACUAAAAGAAAGAUUGAGGUGGUUAUUUCGGAAUGGCCUACAUGAAGUUGAAAAGAUUUUAUACAUUUUAUAGUCUAAUUCGUUUUUUAUCAGAUUAAUAUUUUAGAUAAUAUGAUAUCAAAAUUGAAUCACUACUGUAUAAAUUCGCGUGAUUGUAAAGAUUAAUAAGAGAUUUCACUUUUUCGCUCUUUGUUCUUACACAUGCAAAAGCACGUCACAAAAUCUAGUAAUUAGCUAUUCAAAACCCUAUUUUCUUCUUUUCAAUUUUUUAAAUAUUCAUAUCAUUUGGUCAUAUAAUAUUGAGUAGUGGUAGAAUCUUACGUAGACAAACUCCUCAAAUAGUAGUUGUCACCAUCAACACCUUUGACUUAAAGAAAGAGUAUUAAUUUCCAUAACAUUUGCAGUUUUCUUAUGUUAUUACGUAUUCAAUUUCUCUUUUUCUUUUUUUUUUUUUUGGGUGAGGAAACAUUUUCAACGUUGUAGCAUGCAUGAAUCAAGCAAAGAAGUAAUUCUCUUGCCCUUGCUUUAAGCUCUCAUCGCUAAUUGGUUAAGCAACAAAUAAGAUUUCAACUCAUUUGAUCCACUAUAUAAAUGGCAUGAUUUUAUGAAAGGGAUAGCUAGGGUCGGUAAUCAAUUUUAUUGGGCAUAAAUUAAUAAGGAAAUCCUCUUGAGAGCAAGGGUUGGGGUGGGGGAUGAUAACAAAGAAAAGAAAAAAUACAUACAUACAUACAUACAUACAUACAUAUAUAUAUAGAAUUAUGCUACUAUACUAUCAAUAGUACCAAGCCCUUGGUACUAUUGAGUUUUCGGCCGUUGGAUGAAAGAAUGUGCGGUUAGGAUGAUAGUGAUCCCCGGUUAAAUUGAUAGUGGUCCUCUAGGGUUGAGUGGGUGGUUGGUUUAAUAGUAUAAUCUAAUGGGUGGAAAUCAUCAAAGGGUUGAUCUAAUGGUAGAAAACUCAAUAAUACCAAGGACUUGAUACUAUCGAUAGUAUAGUAGCCAGACUCUAUAUAUAUAUAUAUAUAUAUAUAUAUAUGUAGCGUUUGGUUCGGGGAUAAGCAAGAACUAGUUAUUCCAGGAAUAGGUACAAAUAUGGAGAUAAGAGUAAUUUUGUGUUUGGAUGAAAAUAGAUAUAGGUAUAGGUAUAAGGAGGGAUAAGGAAAAAAGUGUUUGGAUGGUAUUUGGGGAUAAGAGAAUAGUAGGUUGGUGAAAUGUAAAAAUUACCCAAUUACCCCUAAUGAGAAAAAGAGAAGCCUGAGUUGUAGGAUUCGUAAGUUAUAUUUUUUUAAAUUCAUAUUUACGUAAAAUAAACCGAUUAUUUUUUAACCGAUACAAUAAUAAAUAAAUCAAAAUGUAGCGCGGCAUUUGUAAAAAGGCAUACGCUAUUUUCGAAAAGACGUACAAACAGGUAGGUGCAAAUGCCGCAAUUUUUAGAUUGUAACAUAGCACAGAAUCUAUAUUCUUUCUAACAUAAUUAUAUUUAGACACAUUACAUAAAUAUAUUACAAAUGAAGAUUAUAUAUAGUCCUACAACCAAAUAAAAGCAGGAAACUUCAUGAUCAAUUAUUCCAUAGUUGGUCGGUAAUAGAGCGCCGCAAGGACUCCCCACAUGUCGAAUCAUCGCCUCCACUUGGAAUAGGGUCUGGAUGGUCGGUAAUAGAGCGGAUCGUACCGUUGCCGUGAUGUGCACAUCGAGAUCGCCACUACCGCCACGAAAGGGGAGUCGGAAGAGGCAAGAUCCAUGUCAAGUGGGUGCACGACAGCAAGCAAGGCCGCGGGAAACCCACCGGAGUUGUAGAUCCCCAACCGAUCUCGCGCGCAGCAACGGUUUCGCAAACCCACAAGCUUUGGGGAAACCACGGGUAUGGUCGGCUGGAGAUGAAGGGAGGGAGAGGACUCGCGGGAGGGAGCGGUGGAGAGAGAGGAACCGGCUGCAGGGGAGAGGGAGCUCGGUGAGGUGAGGUGGAGAGAGGAAACGGCUCGAUCCACGUCCAGUGGGUGCACGGCUGCAAGAAAGCCCGCCGGAAACCCACCGGAGUUGCAGAUACGCGUUUGGUUCGCACCAAGGGUUUCGCAAACCCACAAGAUUUGGGGAAACCAUGGGCUCCGUCGGCCAGAGGCAAAGGGAGGGAGAGGACUCACGGGAGGGAAAGGUGGAGAGAGAGGAACCCGCGGCGGGAGACAAGGAGCUCGGUGAGGUAAGGUGGAAAGAGAGGAACCCGCUACAGGACCUCGGUGAGAAAGGGAGAGAGGGAGCUUCCCUUGCUACAAAGAAGGGGAGAAGAUGCCAGGGAUAGUUUGGGUAUUUUUCACUCACGAGCCACACUACGACAAAAAGGGGGUGGGAACUGUUGUUCCCACCCCUCUUCACUUAUCCCCAUGGUGGUGGGUUCCCACCACCUAAAAAGAUGUUUGGGGAUUAGCUGGGGGAUAAGAGCUAAUCCCCCAGCUAAUUCCAAACCCAAACACUGUCAUAGAGUUCGGCUACUAUACUAUUGAUAGUACCGAACCCUUAGUACUAUUGAGUUUUCUACCGUUAGAUCUAUCCUUUGAUCAUUUCCACCGGUUAGAUUAUACUAUUAAACCAACCACCCACUCAACCCUAGGGGACCACUAUCAGGGCGUGUUUAGUUCGAAGUCGAAGCCGGAAUCGAAAUCGGAAUCAAAAUAAGUUUGAAUUAGAAUCGGAAUGACUCAUUACCUAAUUCUGUUUGGUUCAUCACCUGAAUCGGAAUCGGAAUAAAUCAUUUCCAUUGUCGGUGUUUGGUUCAGAUGGAUAUAAAAAACAUAAUCAAAUUAAUAUACUAACAUUAUCUUUAUAAUAUAUUAAUUUAAAUUCAAAUAAAAAAUUAAAUAUUAAAAAUUUACAUUAAAAUUUUGAAAUAAUGUCAGAAUUUUUAAUCUAUUUUUUUAAAAAAAAAUUAAACUUUGAAGAUGAGUGGAUAAUUCAAAAUAUGAAACUAAAUUUUGAUUUAUUCAAAUUCAAACUUUAAAAAUUAUAAUUUAAAUUUUAAUUUGAAUCCAUAAAUUUAAUUUAAGUUUUAAAUAAAAUUUGAAUAAAACUUUAUAUAAAUUAAAAUUUAAUUUAAAUUCAAAUUCAUAAGUUAGAUUCGAAAUACUUGAUUAAAUUUUAAUUUUUAAUUUAAAUUCAAAUUAAAAUUUAAAAUUAUAUAUUUAAUUUUUAAAUCUUAACUCAUUUUUAAUUAAAAAAGUUGAAAAGAUAAUUUAAUCCGAAUAAAUAUCCAUUCCGUCCGGAUUCAACUUCCAAUCCGGCCACCUACGCCGGAUUGAAAAAAGAGGUGAAUGGGGGAUUUCCAUUCUACUUGGUAAUCAGAAUCGAAAUGGAACUCCCGCGUACUAAACACCCACAAAUGAAUUUACCCAUUCUGAUUCCGAUUUCAGGGUGAAAAGGAAGCGAACCAAACACGCCCUCAAUUUAACUGGGGACCACUAUCAUUCUAACCGCACAUCCUUUCAUCCAACGGCCAAAAACUCAAUAGUACCAAGGGUUUGGUACUACUGAUAGUAUAGUAGCACAAUUCUAUAUAUAUAUAGAGAGAGAGAGAGAGAGUUUGAUUUGACUACUAUUAGUAAUAAACAGCUCUAUUUACUACCUAUUUGUUUUCAAUAAUAAAGCUUCCGAAUCGACAAUCGGCACUAUUGAACAUGAUCUAGAGUUCUAGACUAUUUAAACUAUCUAAAAAUCAAAUUUCUUACCUUUUCUACAUCACUGAUUGAACGAUGAAAAGGUCAAAAAAAAUCUAUAACUUUAAUGGUUUUUUUUUUAAUGGAAACGUAGCAUGCUACCCGCUUUAUUUAUUUCAUUUAAAAAUAAACUUAGCUGAAAAUAUAAAUCAACUAAGAUUCGAACUUGGGUCUCGGAUACCAACCACCAAGCCCUUUUGCCACUUGCACUAGGGACGGUUAGUUACAAUUUUAAUGGUUGAAAUGAUGCAUUUAUUUGUUUAACGGUAUAGAAGAGUCCAAAUCAACUAAGUUUUUGUUAUAAAAUUCUUUAAACUAUUUAAAACAAGAUCUAAACUAUAAAUCUUAAAUACAAAAAUUGUAUCAUCUCUUUUGAAAGACAUUCAUUUUUCAGCCAUUCAUUUUUUAUUCACUUGAUGAAUAAGAGAACAAUAUCAAAAAAAUAUAAAAUUUAUUUUUUAAAUAAUUUAAAUAAUUUAAAUCAAGUUUAAUGGUGCCGAUCGUCGAUUUAGAAGCUGUAUCAUCUAAAAUAAAUCGGUAGCAAACCUAACCAUUUACUUUGGAUAGUAUUCUAAUAAAGAUCCAUAUGAGCUAGGCUGGUAUACUAUCAGUAGCACGGAGGCCUCCGUACUACCAAAUUGUUUUCAAUGAUGCGGAUUUCAAAUCGACGAUCGGCUCCGGUAGAAUUGAUCUGUACUAUUAAAAGUAUUUGGAAACUAAAUUUCAUAAUUUUUCGAUAUUAUUUGGCUAGUGAUCAAAAGAUCUCAAAAUUGACAAUUUUAAUAGUAGAUGUGAUGUGUUUGUGAAUUUAACGGUAUAAAAUAAUCCAUAUCUAAUGAAAUUUUUAUAGAAAAUUUUUUUCACUAUUUAGAAUAAGAUCAAUACCUUUGAUCUUAAAUUCAAGUUUUCUAUCAUCAUUUAAAAUUGAAAAUUUUAAUGGUAGAUGUGAUGUGCUUGUGAAUUUAACGGUGUAAAACAGUCCUAAUCUGAUGAAAUUUUUAUAGAAAAUUUUUUUCACUAUUUAGAAUAAGAUCAGUAUCUCCGAUCUUAAAUUUAAGUUUUUUAUCAUCAUUUUUAAUGAGAUUUUUUUUUUUAGCCGUUUAUUUUUAGAUUACUCGUUUAGUAGGUAAAUGAUGUCGAAUAAUUAUAAAAUUUAGUUUCCAAAUACUUUCAAUAGUGUAGAUCAAGUCUAACGGAGCCGAUUGUUGAUUUGAAAGCCGCAUCAUUAAAAACAACUUAGUAGCAUAGAGACCUUGUGCUACCGAUAAUAUACCAGCCUAGCUCUCUAUAUAUAUCUCAAAACUUGGGAGCAUAAAUGGAGGACAGUCAUACUAGUACUGUAGGUCACUGUUUCAUCCUCUGCUACUUAAUUAGUACAGUCAUACUAGUACUGUAGGUCUUGUUGUUUUGUGUUGCUCAUAAUUAUACAGCGUCCAGCUGUAGGUCGCAGGGACGCGGACAAAUUAUUCUAUAAAUUUUGUAAUUUAAAUAAAUUUUUUAGCUAUUCAUUUGUGAGUUUAGGUAAAUUAUCAAAAAUUGAUCAAACAAAACAAAGUGAAAAAUGUAGCUAAAAUGCAGCUUUCACCAAAUAGUUUGUUAAGUGCAAAUGCAAUUUUAUAAUCUAGCAGUUUUUUUUAAUACAUAAAAAUUCAAAUUAUUGGAAGGUCAUGCAUGCAGGGAAAGUUUCUUCUGUAAAUAUUAUGUAUUAACAAAAGAAUAACAAUAUCUAAUUAAAAUUUUCUAUUUUGCAUUAACGUGCUACAAGAAUAUUUUUUCUUUCUCCACAAAAUUAUGGCAUUAUUCUUAAUUAGAUCUAUAAUUAUCUCACAUUACCUAAUAGUACAAUUAUUCCAUGCUAUAUUACGCCAUGCACGUAUAUGUUUACUUAAGGAGGGAGAAAAAAGGCAAUUUGAGAAGUAGGAGAAUUUAACUUGGAUUUGCAGCAUAUGCUGACCAAAAAAUGGCUCCAAGUAAUGAACAAAUUAAAAAAGAACACAAGUGGGAAAUUAAUUAAUUUGGUUUUUUUGGAAAAGAAAAGAAAAAAAAAAGAACAUCCAUUGGCUCGCGGGGAGUUGACUAUGGGGUUCUUUUUAAGUGCAUUAUUGAAAGAGUGAUGGACCACUUCAACAUACCCCACAUAUAUAUAUAUAUAUAUAAUAUAUUAUAUAUAUAAUAUAAUAUAUAUAUAUAGUCCGGCUACUGCACUCUUAUGAGUACGAUCGCACUCGUACUCAUAAGUUGUUUUCGAUGAUAGACUUCCGAAACGACGAUCCACACCGUUAAAUGUUAUCUAGACCAUUUAAAACUCUAGAAAUCAAUUUUAUAAUUUUUCGACAUCAUUUACCUUACGAUCAAAAGCUUACAAAAUUGACAAUUUUUAACGGCCGGUAUAGAAUACUUGCUAGCUUAACGGUGGAAAAAGAAUCGGAAAUAUGUUGAAUUUUUGAUAGAAAAUCUAUUAACUACCUAGAUAAAGAUCAAUAACUCCGAUCUUAAAUUGAAGGAUCCAAUCAUUCAUUUUUAGGUCGUCGUUCGCUUUGACCGUUUAUUUUAUGCCGCUUGAUGGACUUUAUUGAUAUUCGAAAAAUUACGAAAUUAUUUUUUAGAAGUUUCAAAUACUCUAGAUCAUAUUUAACGGUAUGGAUCUUGAUUUCGGAAGCUCCAUCAUCGAAAACAACUUGAGUACUAAGGCCCACUACUCAUAAGAGUAUAGUAAGCUCUACUAUAUAUAUAUAUAUAUAAUAUAUAUAUAUAUAUAUAUAUUAAUAUAUAAUAUAUAUAUAUAUAUAUUAUAGAGUUGAUCAAGGAUACUUUUACAAGUAUCAUCCUCAUAUUGCUAUCAGUUUUUAGCCAUUGAACUACUUUUUGAUUACAAAUAGUCCUUGGAUCAAACACUAUUCCACCUACCACCACCUACUACCAUCAUCUCAAUCUCACAUCUCUCCAUCCAAGGCUAAAAACACACAAGUAUCACUUGGUGAUACUUGUAAAAGUAUUCUAGCCUACUCUAUAUAUAUAUUAUAUAUAUAUAUAUAUAAUAAUAUAUAUAUAUAUAAUUAUUAUAAUAUAUAUAUAUAUAUGCUUUAAUCCCGCAACAUGCACACAUACACAGAUACAUGUACACACACAUAUGUUUAUAUAUUAUAUCCCUCUUAUGCAAUUAUAUAUAUGAGAGAGCUAGCUCGGUUCAUUUUUCCUGUAUAGCCAACACCUAGUGCAGUUCUCUCUCUCUCUCUUUCUCAGAUCAUCUCUUCUUUGCAAACUCUCCAUUCUUUUUCUAUCCUCUCGAUAGAUCGAUCGAUAUCGCUGUGCUCAUGCGAAUGACUAGCCCUCCGACAACGGCGCCCCCUCGAAGCCAUGAGUAAUCUAAUAGUCCCAAGAUCUAAGGUCAUGUUCCACCAAGUUUAUGAUAGAGGUUAAUAUAUACAUAUAUAUCCAUAUCUCUUUCAAUUAUAUAUAUUCAUAGUUUCCUUUUACAUAUAUAUAUAUAUAUAGAGAGAGAGAGAGAGAGAGUUUGGUUUCUAUUUCAUGGUUUUGUUUUUGAAAUCGAGUUUCAUUUACAUAUUUAUACACAGUGGGUUCUUCCUCUUAUUACUUUGGUUGUAAACCAUAUAUAUAUAUACAUAUAUAUAAAUAUAAAGAUAAGCAUUUGGAUCAAAGAAAGUACAUAGAAGUUGGUCCAUAUGCGGAAGGGAAGGAAAGGGCUGAUCAUGAAGACGUUGGAGAGAUGCCGAUCGAUCGGCGGCGGCGGCGGCGGAGGCACAAACCCUAGCCCUAAGGGGUUCUUGGCGGUGCACGUCGGAGCGGGAAGAGAGCGGUUCGUGGUGCGGACGGAGUGCCUGAACCACCCGCUCUUCCGCGGGCUCCUCGAGGAGGCGGAGACCGAGUACGGGUACGCCGUGGAGGGCCCCCUCGAGCUCCCGUGCGACGUCGAAGCCUUCCACGCGGUGCUGUCGGAGAUUGAGCAGGACGCGGGCGGUGGUGGCAGGGGGCCGUCGUCGCCGCUCUGCGGCCUCGCCAGAAGCCAGUCCAAGUAUCGGCUGCUCAGCCCGGCACAGCUCGCGCUCGUCGGAAAAUCAUAUUAAUUAUUGUUAUUAUUAUUAAGCAACAAGUUAUUUUAAGUUAAGAGUAAUUAGUACUCUCUAGUUUAGUUUUUGUGUGGUGCAUUUGUAUUACUAUGUGAGGUAGAUGCAUGCAUGCAUGCAUAUGGUAGUUGUUUACUUGCUCCCUUUUGGUUAAUUUUAUGUAGGAGCGAGCUAGCUAGCUAGGUAGCCAAGGUGCUACUCAAUGGAACUAGGGUUGAGUGGGUAAAAAUAUGUAACUACUAAAAGAGUUUGAAUGCUAUACAAAUGGAUGAAUCCGACUAUACGAAGAGCACACUAAUAAAAUAAAGAUUCAAGACUCAACCAGUUGUUAUAGUCUCUUCUGAUCGCACUAAAAUUUAAAAUUUGAAAUCGAUUUUUAUCAUCCACAAAAUGUGUAUGAUUUCUUGAAAAGCGUGAAAAAUAUUUUGAAAAGAACAUUUUAUAUUAUAUAAAACACUUUUUCUCUAUCAUUUUUAUUUUGCGAAUAAAAAAAAAUACUACUUUAUCACAAAAUCUUAAAAAACUUUUUUUUAAAAAAAAAAACCUACUUUUUCUAAAAGCACACGUACGGAAAAGUAACUUUUCCAACCAAAAAAUUAUUUUCUAAAAUAUUUUCCAAAAAACCGAACACUAAUAACCAAACAACUAAAAAUUAGAAGAGUUUCAGCAGCAGCAGCAAUCACACGCUAUUUGUUACCAAAAUAAGACGCAAUAACAAAUACUUUAAAUUAUUGCUGCGCGUGACUACUGAUGCAAUACAUUGUAGAAUAACAAUCUCUUACGGGCACAUAUUGUUUAAUAAAUUCAACUCUAAUUUGUAUUCUAUAUACACGUUGCUGUUAUAGUGAGCUAAGCAUCACAUGAUCUUAUCAUAUUUGUUGUCCCUGCAAGGGUGUUAGUUCAUCUGCUUGAACACAAUGGUAUAUUAUAAUUAGCUUAUAAGAUAAAUGAUGGAUCAUGAGAUGAUCAGAAGAGGUCUAAUUAAAAGAGAAUAUUGUACAACAUAGCUACAAGAAAGGCUACAACAUCUUUCACAUUUGAAUAUUUGAGUUUUUAAGCUAAGUUAGAUCACCGGAAAAUCGCCACCAAACUAUAACAGUAGUAGAAGAUGCGUACCCCCUUCCUUAAGCUACUUACCAUCAUCUCCAUCUGAAUCAUUAUCUUCCUCUUCUUCUUGCGCAUCUUCUUCGCCAUCCUCAUCUUCCUGAUCAUCAUCAUCGUUGCCGUCAUCGUCAUCGUCGUCAUCUGACAUAUUAUUUAUCACUUCUUCUAUUAUAUGCUUCACCUCUGCCUUUCUAUCCAUUAAAUCCACAUUGAAAUGCGCUCCUGCCGACAAAGAACCAUUCUCAUGUCAGAUGUGCUUACAUGUACUGAAACUCUGUUUAUUAUCAAUUAAGUCACCAUGCUUGAAUAAAUUGGCAAUUUCGUAAUUUUCUCAAAUAGGACUAAAUGAUAGGUUUUAAGAGUAAUAUUAGUACCUAAUUGCCGGAGAAUAUCUGCUAAAGUUGCCUGCACCAAAGUUGAUCUUAUCACUAGUUACCAGGAAGAAAAGCAGAAUAGGAGUGAAUAAAGUAAAUUGGCGCUACCCACCGUAUUGAAGUCCACUUCUUUCAAUAUCUCGCUAACCACAGCAUGUAAUUCUUCAGUGCUUGGUCCCUUCGGGGCAUCUCCAUUUGCCUUGCCUUUUCCUAGUAUCAUAAAAGAGAGUCAUAAACAUCUUAAAAAGCUUCAUUUCAAUAGUCAAUAAAGUACUAGCCAACUACAAACAGCAAUAUGUAAAGACCAACUAAUUUUGAAAUCUUACUUUGUUUUGUGGCAGAAACCUUUGGCUCCGCCUUAGCAGCACUUUUCUCGCUUGUCUUUUUAUUCUCAGUAGAAGAGCUUUUGCUCUGUGAUUUACUCUUAUCCUUGUUCUUGGAUUUGGAAGCUGUUGAUGGAACCAAUUUAGCCUCAUCUCUCGAUCUUUUGCUUGGUGUAGAUUCUAAGGAGCCUUUAUUGGUCUUAUUGGACUUCGGAGGUGCAUCACUACCCUUUGAAGAGCUCUUAGAUACCUUUUUGAGCUCCUUAGAACUCUUGUCCUCCAAUUGGUCAGCUGGUUUAUCUUGUGCAGCAACCUUUAUCUUAGAAGCAGAUUUAGGGCUUUUAGCAGGGUUUGUAGAAAUGGCUUCUUCAGCAGAAAAGGCCUUUUCUUUCCCCUUUGACCCAGUGUUCUUUUGUGCCACCUCUUUGGAAGCCUUUUUGCUCGUAGCAGGCUUUUCUUGUUCAUCUUCCUGACUUUCUUCUUGAUCACUCAUAACGUGGUCGGUCUCUUUCUCUGAAUCUUCAUUAUUGCCUUUUUCUUCUUCUUCUUCUUCUUUUGGUUGUUCUCUAGAUUCUUCCUCUGAAUCUGCAGAAUGAUCCUCUUCAUUUCCUUUUUCAGCUUCAACUGAUUGCUUACUACUCUUCCUUUGUCUCUGGAUAUUAUAAGUUACAGCAUAUCAAUACGCAAUUAACUGCCAUAAACAGUAAAGAGCAAUCCAACAAUCAUUAUGGACUCCCAGAAGCACUGUGCUAAUAAAAGCAACUAGAGUUUUGCAACAAUAUCAGUUCUAAUUUGAUUGUCAACAAUUAGUGAACUCUAUGAGGCCUCAUUCCAAUCUUGCAAUUAGCCAUGCUCACUCAUAGUUGACUUGAUUAAGCUCACAAAUGCAGAUAGACAAGACAAAUGAAAGAUAUAGUUCAGUGUAAAUGUAUGAAGUGAACCAAAUGAGAAGCAGAAACUGGUAAUAGCAGGAAAAAGAAGACCUUUUCCUCUCUAUCUAAAGAUGGUUCAUUCGAUGUUGCCAGUCCUUUCGAUCUCUUAUGUUUUUUAAAUUUCUGCCAGCAACAUAAACAAUAGAUGAGAGUAAGUACAAUCUACAAUCAAAUAGAUAACAAUCUCAACAGAGUAAGCGUGAUACCUUCUGUUUCUCAGAAAGUAAAACAUCUCUCGUAACAUAUGGAGAUUCCAAAAAUUCUGACAACUUCGCUGAAAUUUCCUCCUGAAAAGCAUACAAAAUAAGACUCUUUGACAUCUGUCUAUGUCGCACACGCGGGCGCGGGCGCGCGCACGUGAGCGCUGGCGCGCGCACGCGCACGCGCGCGCGAGAGAGAGAGGGAGAGAGAGGGGAUGUUCCACAACUAACCAACCUUCUUGGUAGCAGUUUUCACAUCAUGCACAUCAAGUAACUCACAAAAAUCAAGUAACUUCUCUUUGUGGCAUCUAUCAAGCUUUUCCUUAAGCUUGGCCUUUUGCUUUACCUGAAUAAGCAAAAUAGCCAAAAUAUAUGAAUUAUUAAUGAGAAAUAAGGAGCCAACUUAACUAAUACUAUAAACAUCUAACUACAGAAAUUAACAGGCUUACAUAACAAAGUAAAAUCAAUUGAUUUAUGCGUUUUCAAAUUCAAUACCUAAAAGACAGUAAUACUAUAUAUCUCAAAGAAUUAUCACAUGACACCGUGAUCUACAGCAUGCCGGCAUGACACAAACAUAGACAGAUGAGGAUUUUCGGAAAGAUUCUAGAGAAAGAUAAACCAAUUUAGCAGCGGAACUUCCUAGAAUUUUUUAAUAGAAUAAGGGAACUGAUUAGUUUGAGAUGUCUUUUGUGUACAAAAAACAACAUAGCAUGCACGCUCAGAGCUUGUAUUCAUGGGCAGCCGUAAUAUGAGUAUAUAUGUCCAACUAAAGGCCUGUUCACUAGGGCUUUUAGAACUUGUCUACUGGAGAAGAAGAUUUAGGCAUUUGGUCACAAAAAUAUCUCAGCCCCUGAAAUUGGAGAUUUCGGAUUCGUCGAAUAUUGUUGCAAAAAGAAAAACUGUUAUGGCUUCCCAAAAAGCAAUUGUUUAAUACAACAAAAGCUAAAUAGGACAAAGGGAACCAUUAAACUAACAACGAAGACCAUCCUAAUUUACUGACUAGAUAUUAUAUAGUUCAAGACUGUAUAGACCAAGGCCAUUGAUCCAAACACCAAAAAACACAUCAUCGAACAGCACCACACUUUAGCAGCAAGCCCAAGCAUGCCAAACCGUAUGGUGACGAAAGAGCCUUCUCUUGAUAAUACAUAUAUUAGAACUUAGAAUGUUACAGAGCAUUAUUUUGUUAUAGUUUAAAUGGGAGUUCCUUAACUUAAAACCUGAUUUUGCAUUUAUAAAUGGGGUAAGCUUUCUAAGUAUUAUUGCUGCAAGAUAGACUGCGAUCAAAUCAUCAAGAUACAGUAUCUCAAGAUUUAACAAAGCAUAGAAAUAUUAGCAUUGGACAUCAGAAGCACAUAACUUAUAAAACUAUAAGAACAUUUUCAUAGUAAGGGAAAAGAAGAGUGUUGGGAUGGACGAUUUAUGCUACCUCAUUCUCAUCCCAAACAAAACCAGAGAACUGUAAAAUGUUUCUCUUCAGAGAAUGGGCCUGCAAAGAGAACCUUUACCAUAAAUUAAUAAACAAGUACCGAGCAAGAUAAGUAGUGUAAAAGUAAUAAUUUGACAGAAUCUUCGAAGAGGAACUCUUACAUUCGAUUUCUUUCCAAAAAGAAUUCUGUGAAGGACUUGAAGAUUCUCAUCAGCUUUUCUUUUUGACAUCUUGAAAGAAACUGAUAAUAUAUAAGCAGUAUUAGGCAAAAAAAUAAAUAAUAGCUAGUAACAAAUUAGUGCAUAUGACUACUGCUGAACUCUACACUGCUGUCGAACAAGAACUAUGAAAAAAAGCUGGAAAAUAAAUAGCAAAUAGUACCGUUUGGAAUGUCUUUCAGCAUGGUUCCAAAACCCUAAAAAAACCCACAAGAAAAACAUUACAUUGAGCAUAAAUCAAUCAUAAACAAAAGGAAUUAUAGUCCAGGCCUGAUCUAAUAUUUUUAAAACAAAAGUACCUUUAGGAGAAGGUAUGAAAAUUGAAGAGCCACUCCAUACCUUUAGCUUUAGAUUUUUUCUUUUUUUUUAUUUGGGUGAUUUAAUCAUUAAAAUGGAGAUUUUAAUAUACGCACCCAUUAUUCCACUAAUUUAAUGGCUUUAAUCACUUCUUAGUAAAUAAAAGUAAAACUAGAACAAUUACCUGCUAAUGCUUAAUAAAACCAUUAAAUUCAACAAAAUCUUGAACUUAACUAACUAAAAUAUCUCUAAUGAACAAAAAGGAACAGAAAUUGAGAUGGUAUCAAACAAAGGAACGAAGUUAAGGGGCAUGUUUCAAACUAGCCUAUAUAAUUGAGCAGCUCUUCGGCACAUUUUUACCUAAUAUGCUCUACAGUCCACAAAUUACGCAGUAGAUCGGGAACAGGAUAUAAGAAGUCAUUUACCUGCAAGAUCGCCGGCGACUUCUUCGCCGAGGAGCUCCGGGGAGACGCCGACGUGUACCUCUCGACGGCCUUCCGCUCCCUCGACGGCCUCUUCUCCACGGGCGUCGCUGGCUCCUUCUCCGCCGACCCCCUCCUCUUCUUCUCCACCACGUCCUCCCCAUCCACCUUCGCCCCCUCCUCCGCCUCCUCCUCCUCCCCCUCCCCCUCCUUCGCCCCUUCCUCCUCCCUCUCUCCUCCCUUCUUCUUCUUCUUCUUCUUCUUCUCUCCUCCUCCUUUCUUCCUCCCCCUCUUCCGCUUCUCCACGCCUACUCCCUCCACCGCCGCCGCAGCAGCAGCGGCGGCGGCAACAGUAGCAUCUGGAGUGGCCGGGUCACGAUCCUUCCCCUCUUCCUCGUCUCCGGGAGGGGAUCCGUCGCCGGAGUUCUUCUCCUCGCCUAGGGUUUCGGAGCUCAUGGAGAUCGGGGCCGGGGAGAUCGAAAUCGGGUCGUAAAACCCUAGUGGAUUCGAGGAGUGACCAGUGAGAGAGAGAGAGAGGGAGAGAGAGAAAGAGAGAAAGGGGGAGAGAGAGGGUUUUAGCGCGGAUUCCAAAUGAAAAUCCAAUCUAAUUUAAGAGCGGGAGUUGGGGGCGCGGACAUUUUUUAGGGCAUGUUUGAAAUUUCGCGCCGAAAAUUUGGGAAAAGAGGUAAUCCCACAUUGCCAACGUUUGGGGGCUACUGAACCCAACUUUUUAAAUUCUAAACUCUAGUUAAGAGCAUGUUGGGUUCGACAAAACUUUAUUACGACAAACAGGCGACCUCCAAUCAUAUGCAGGUCUCGACAUUACACGCAUUGGAGGUGAAGUUUUGAAGCUCAGAAUCUCAUUUCACAGCUGGUAAGUAGGUGUUAACGAAAAGAAUAGAAAAAAAAUAUCCAUGCUUUUUGAUCGAGAGGAAAUUACAACAUUUGAAGUUACAUGCUUUUCAACUUGAAUUCUUCGUAGUGACUCUGUUUUUGAGAGAUAGAUAGCACGCUACCUGCUUCAUCUAUUUCAUUUAGAAAUAAACUUAGCUGAAAAUGUUAAUCAACUAGAAAUUCUUCGUAGUGACUUGAUCUCGAUGAAGUACGUUACAUUCAGCAACUUGAUGAAUUAGAUUUUUAUUCACUUUUGGCUAAAAAUUAAGAAACUUCGAAGAUUCGAGGUUUUGACUUAAAAUUUCGAAUGACAGAAAUAUCUUAAAGAUGUGCUAUUGAAGUUAUUUUUAAAACUUUUUUUUUGAGAGAUAGGUAGCACGCUACCCGCUUCGUUUAUUUCAUUUAGAAAUAAACUUAGCUGGAAAUGUAAAUCAGCUGGAAAUGUGAAUCAGCUGGAAGUGUAACAUGAAAGCUGCUGCUAAUCCGAAAUCACCUUAAGGGUGCGUUUGGUUCGCAUUAUAAAAGAUUACUAGGAAUAAAAGAUAUCCGAGAAUCUGAUUACUAUUCAUCCUAUUACUAAGAAUGUGGAAUUCCUGUGUUUGGUUCACACAGUAAUAUUAAUUAGCCAUGUUAUUUAAUAUUACAAAAAUUAUACAAUUAAUUUAUUUAUUUAUUUAAUUAAUUUUAGAUAAUGUUACCAAAAGUUUCAACAUCUUUUUAGAAAAAAGAGAGAGAGAGUAUAAGUUAGAGAGAGAGAGAGCAUAAUUAAAAAAAUAGAAAGAAAAAUAUAGUCGAAAUUAGAGGGAGUGAGAGAGUUGAAAUUUUAGAAAGAGAGAGAGAGAGAAAGCUUAGUUUAGAGAGAGAAAAAAAAGUUGAAUUUUAGAGAGAAAAAUAAGUCUAGAGAGAUAUAAGGUUAGAGUGUAAAGAAAAAUAAUAUCAAUUAGCCGGCGGGUAGGAAGAAAGAAAGAGAUUAGACAUAUUAUGAUUACCCCAAUCCAUUAAUAUAAGGAUACUCACCCUCCCUCAAGGGAAUGAGAUUAGUACUUUGGGGUGAAUCUUAUUCCCAAGUGAAUCUAAUAUUACCAACUAGAUUACUUAGUGCGUUUAGCUAAACACCGUCAUAUUUUUUUAUUCCCAUUGGAUUACUAGGAAUCUUUAAAAGAUAGCGCGAACCAAACGCACCCUAACGGUUGAAUGUUGUGAAAGAAGAUCCUCCUAUCCUUGCUUGGUACAGUAUUUAUUAAUUAGGUAUCUAGAGUUUGAAUAUGACUAAAUCGUGAUAAUCUUGGCCUAAUCCUCGAGAAAUUGAGAUGCCCGUCUCUUUCCAAACAGAAGUCCAACCUAAAACUUAGGCUUAGUUUGAUAUUGAAGCCUAUCUAAUGCGAGAUAAAAUAGAGUUGGGGUAAAAAUAUGUAGAGAUAUGCUUCUACGUUUUCUGGUGGGACCAUAAAAAAUAUAUCGUGACCGACUAAUCGCGAUAUAUGAAACACAAUAUUACGUACAGAAAAUAAACAUAAUAUUUUUUCUAUCAUACUUUCUCACCGCACGUAAUGCAAUAUCCCCGCAAUGGCAAGCGAAGCCUUGCACAUUAGAUAGUAAAGAUUUUAGGCUAACAGUAGAUGCGGCGCAUACUCCACUUCUGCAUUUGACUUUGUGCUGCCAAACAUCAGAUCUUUAAAGAUAGGUCUUUGCCGAAAGGCAUCCACUUUAACCUUUGAUCGAAUCUUGAGAUCAACAAAAAGUCAACUUAAACUAUGUUUGGACGCUAAAUUAAGCUCACAAUUAAUCUUUUCAAAGGUGUUUUUCCCAGUGAAAACAAAUGUUUUAUUUUAAGCAAGUAAUACCAUUGAAUUAAUCGGCAACGCCAACGAGAGAUGAUUAUAUAUAUAUGUAAAACAGAUAACUUGGUACACAUUCUUAAUUUUUGUUUUUAUUUCGUAUGAUGAUAAUUUUCACUUGAAUCUUUAUUUACUCUUAUUUAACUACUAUUAAGAAAAAAAUUUGUUGUUGACACAUGAGCUCAUGUAAAUACAACAUACAUCUCCUCUACUACUCUCAUUAUUGAGUAACAAUAUUUUAUCAAUUUAUAAAUUUCUUUAACUAAUUAUACAUACGAGAUGGACGAACGAUGAAUAAAUAACGAAGGUGUGAGGUGGGAGCAAUAAUUUCCCUCUAAUUAUUAUAACUAACUAAAAUGAAAAGUUUUUAAAAAUUGAAAACGCUAAUGCAGGAGGAGGCACAACUGCAACAGUUUGAAUUACGCCCAAAUUGGUCGCAGUUCCAAGUACAAUAGUUGAAGAGAAUAACUUUAAACAAAAAAUCUACUUACCUUCCUAAUUAUUUUUUAAACAAAAAAUAAAUAUAUUUUUUACAUUGGAGAUAAUAUCACCAUCAUAUAUAUAAAAUGAUAAAAUUUUAAAAAUAAUUUCUCAACUACAUGCAACCAAAUAAAUUAUUUAUAGUUGCAAUGGUUUCUACUACAUCCAACCAAACACGAUACAUGUAGUUGUAACUACUGCAUUUCCAAAUUAUUUAUAAUUGCAACGUUUUUUACUAUAUCCAACCAAACAGAAUGUAUGAAGUUACAACUACUGUAUUUUCAACUAUAUUUAUUUCAACUACACUGCAUUUGUAAUUACAUAUAAUCAAACAGUCCAUUAAAAAAAGUCAAAAUUCAAAAAGUGAGACACUUUAGGAUGACAUCGCCAAAAAGAAACUAAUUAUACUUUGGGGAUUCUUGAUUUUCUGAAAAAUAUCACAAAAAAGUAGUUUUCUGGACGAAAAAAGUAAGAGCAAUUACUUAUAUACUCCUGAAAAGUUUUCGACUUUCUAAUUUAUCCAUCUUAGAAGGCUAAUAUUGAAAAUACCUUUUUUACGUUUCGAUAUAUUUCAAACAUACUCCAGAGUUAAAAUCUGUUAAUGAACUCUAUUAUCUCUAUGAAAUUACUAUUUUGCCCUUUCAAAUAUUCCCUUUUACCAUCACUGAUUUUUCUUAUUUGCCCUUAAGUUAGAGGCACAAUAAGUAUUUUACUUUUUGGUCUUUCCAAAUAUACCCUUCUACCAUCACCAAUAUUUCUUAUUUACUCUUAAGUUAAGGGUAAAAGUGUCAUUUUAAUUUUUUUAACUGUGGUAGAUAUUUAGGGCGUGUUUGGUUCGAAGUCGGAGUUGGAAUCGCAAUCGGAAUCAAAAUAAGCUGGAAUCGGAAUCGGAAUGGCUCAUUACCUAAUUCCGUUUGGUUCAUCAUCUGAAUCGGAAUCGGAAUAAAUCAUUCCUAUUGUUGGUGUUUGGUUCAGGUGGAUAUAAAUAAAAAACGUAAUCAAAUUAAUAUACGAACAUUAUCUUUAUAAUAUAUUAAUUUAAAUUCAAAUUAAAUAUUAAAUAUUAAAAAUUUACAUCAAAAUUUUUAAAUAAUAUCAAAUUUUUAAAUCUAUUUUUUUAAAAUAAAUUAAUCUUUGAAGUUGAGUGGAUAAUUCAAAAUAUGAAACUAAAAUUUUAUUUAUUCAAAUUCAAAUUUAAAAUUACAAUUUAAAUUUUAAUUUGAAUCCAUAAAUUUAAUUUAAGUUUGAAAUAAAAUUUGAAUAAACUUCAUAUAAAUUAAAAUUUAAUUUAAAUUCAAAUUCAUAAGUUAGAUUCAAAAUACUUGAUUAAAUUUUAAUUUUUAAUUUAAGUUCAAAUUAAAAUUUAAAAUUAUAUAUUUAAUUUUUAAAAUUUAACUUAUAUUUUAAUUUAAAAAGUUGAAAAAAUAAAUUUAAUCCGAAUAAAUAUCCAUUCCGUCCGGAUUCAACUUUCAAUCCGGCCUCCUAGGCCGGAUUGAAAAAAGGGGUGAUUGAGGUAUUCCCAUUCCACUCGGGAAUUGGAAUCGGAAUGGGACUCCCGCGUACCAAACACCCACAAACGGAUUCACCCAUUCCGAUUCCGAUUCCAUGGUGAAAAAGAGGCGAACCAAACACGCCCUUAGCUUAUGUUUAACCUAAGUUAACUUAACGGAUAGUAACUCCAGGGGUAUUUGGAAUAACGGAUGAGCAUAUGAGGGGUAUAAUAGAAAGAAAAAAAAAUAGAGAUAAAUGAAAUAUUUUUGAAGUUUUGAGAGGUAUAUAGGCAAUUAUCCCAAAAAAGUAAAUUUCAUCCGUUUAAUUUAUAGAAAAAAGUAUUUUUUUUAAUUUUGUCUGAUUUUAAGAAAAAAUAUUUUUUACAUAAUUUUAUAUGUUUAACCAUAAAAAAUAUUUGGAAAAACUUCAAAUACCCCCCCUUGUGGUUUCACUUUUUCUCACUUUAGUAUUAUGUGAUUUAAAGUAUAUCAAGUUAGUACCCUGUAGUUUUGCACUUUUUCAUUUUAGUACUCUGUGGUUUAAAGUGUAUCAAAUUAGUACCCUGUGGUUUCGCACUUUAUCACUUUAAUACCCUGUGGUUUCGCACUUUAUCACUUUAAUUACCCUGUGGUUUAAAAACCACAUGGUACUAACUUGAUACAAAAAUAAAACCACAUGAUACUAACUUGAUAUAAAAAUAAAACAACAGAGUACUAACUUGAUACACUUUAAACCACAGGGUACUAAAGUGAUAAAAUAAGAAACCACAGGGUACUAACUUGAUACACUUUAAACCACAUGGUACUAAAAUGAAAAAAAUGUAAAACCACAUUGGGUUUUUUUUUGAAGUUUUCCCAAAAUAUUUUACAUAGAUUUUUUUCUGCAAUACAAUUUUUUUACACUGUUUCGAAAAUCCAGACAUCUAGCUACCAAUUAUUAGGUCACUUGUGAAAAAAUAUUUAUGAAAAUUUCAUUUAUCAAUUUUUCGCCUAUUUGAUAUAAAAAAACUAGUUUUUUUUUUCAGAUUUUAUAAAACAAUAAUUUUUAUUUUUUUAAAAAAUUAUUAUUAAAAUAAAUAUUAAAUUUUUUAUAAAAAUAUUUUUUAAAAAUUACUUUUCUUUUUAACUAAGCGAGCAUAAAUACUUUUUUGAAUGAGAUAAUUGCAUCCACGUCCCCGCAAACAUGGUGAUCUGCAAAUGUAUCCCUGCAAAGUUUAACUUUCAGAUUUAUCCGUACAAAAGUCUUAAUGUUUUCAGAUAUGUUCCUCUGGUUAGAAUCCGUUAAAAACUGUUUAUUUUUUAACAGUAGAUUUGUUAAAUGAUAUUUUUGUCAUCACAAAUAUGUUCCUCUAAAAGCUCCAGUUGGUAUAUGUUUGUAGAAAUGCCCUCUUAAUUUUUGCCCUAUUCCUCUUUCUCUUCAAUUUUCUUUUUAGGCUGUGGGAGCGGUUGGUGACUUCGCGGAGCUUGUCGAAGUUGCGCCCGACGAGGACAAGGCUGAGGCCCGCAGCGGCGAGGUGGAAGGCGAAGGUACGGCCGAUGCUGUCGAAAGCGCUCGUGAGGACAGCCCACAAGGGCAUGACGAUCGGAUCAUCAACGAUGACGACAAAGAAAAAGGGAGAGGAGAAAAUGAGGAGGAGGAGAAGAAGAAGAAGAAGGCGGCAGCGGAGGUCGUUAUCCGACCGCCGUCGCACUUACCUUGGCUGGAGGUGUCGCCAUGGAUGGCGAGGUUGGUGCUAAUCUCCUACGAGGAGCACCACCCGAUCCUCCUUUUCCGCCGCGAUCGCCCGCCGCAUCUCCUCCCUCGCCAGCUACGACGACGACCACCACUCCGACAAGCAACAAAGGAAGAGGAAGAGAAAAAUGGGUAAAAUUAUAAAUUCAUCUUAUUAAUUAAUUAUGAUUAAGUGUUUUAACUGUGGUUAACUAAAUUUCAUCAACGGAUCCUAACGACAGGACUGUAUCUGAAAAUAUUACGACUUUUGUAGGGAUAGUAUCUGAAAGUUGAACUUUACUAGAAUGUAUCUGUAAUUCACUAUAUUUGCGGAAAUCUGUAUGUAAUUAACUCUUUGGAAUAAUCAAACGCACGACUUUUGAAAGGUAAGUGGUCAAUUAAUUUUAUCCAGGUCGCAGUUGCUACCCACAGAAUAUUAGCCAUUUAUAUUUUGUUUCAAAAUAAAAUAUUGUUUAAAUAUUUGUCCGUAUAAAGUGCCACGUCGGCAAUGACUCAUACACUGGAUUUACGUACCAACCACUCGCAGCUGUGGGACCCACAAUACACUUCGUCCCUGAAGUCUCACAGUCCUCACUAUUGGACACGUGAUUCCGUACUGGAGUUGCUAUCGAACCCAAUGUAUCACUACGUCUCAUGCACCGUACCUAAUUUUUGAUGAUCGGUAUCGUAGGCUCAAAAUUUUAAGGAAAAAUUUUAAAUAUCCAUAUUGUGGUUUCACUUUUUUUUUUCACUUUAGUACUUGAUGAUUUAAAUUGUAUCAAAUAAUACCUUGUGAUUUUGCAUUUUUUUAUUUUAAUAUUCUGUGAUUUAAAGUGUAUCAAGUUAGUACCAUGUGUUUCGCACUUUAUCACUUUAGUAUCCUGUGGUUUAAAGUGUAUCAAGUUAGUAUUCUGUGGUUUUAUUUUUGUAUCAAGUUAGUACCCUGCUGUGGUUUAAAAACCACAGAAUACUAACUUGAUACAAAAAUAAAAUUACAGGGUACUAACUUGAUAUAAAAAUAAAAUCACAGAGUACUAAUUUGAUACACUUUAAACCAUAGGGUACUAAAGUGAUAAAGUGAGAAACCAUAGGGUACUAACUUGAUACACUUUAAAUCAUAGGGUACUAAAAUGAAAAAGUGCGAAAUCACAGGAGGGAUUUUUGAAGUUUUUCCAAAUUUUUAAUCCUACAAAUACUGCUUAAAUAAAGAGAUUGUUUAUAAGCAAUUAGAAAUUAAAAAUAUUUAUAAUUUUUUUUUAUAUAUUCAACUCAUUUAGUACUGAGGAAUAUCUAAUAUAGUUAGAUUUUAAAAAAAUUACAGCAAAUGUAUAUAGGCAUAUAUUAUUAUAUUUGUGACGGGACUGUAGAAAUUUUGUUAUAAUUGAAUUGAAUAUUCAUGAUCGAUCUGCAUAAUAUAAUGUUUUUAUAAAAAUAAAUAGAAUAUUUUUCUAUCUUUUAUGAAAAUAAAUAAAGUACUUAACUACUUAUAAAAAGCUCAAAGAAUUAGUGGUUGGUUUUAAUGUUGUGGUCUAUUUGAUGUAACUGUACACCAGGUGCAGGGAAUUUUUCCUCUACUUAAGUAGCAGAGGAAUUAUGGUUUGCAGAAUCUCAGCGAAACUCACGGUGUGUGUUGCAUACAACUUUUCUAUGCGGACGGAUGCAUAUAUACGAUAAUACGACCCGUCUCGCUUUCAACGUACUGCGUCGGACUCAACAGCGCCGACCCCUCGAGAUUCUUUCCACGAGGUGAAAAUGUGUGGAUACCACCCUCAACUAUAGUACACUUUGAAAUGGUCCCCUCAGCAUUUUUUUUCUUAAUAGUUUUAAAUUUUAUCUUUUCAAAUUGAGGGGUUUAGUUAAUGAAAGUAUGGAUUGUAUCGAGUUUAUUAUUAAUUAACCAAGAGAAUUAGAAUAUUUGGUAGGUAAUAGUUGAUAAUAUUAGUAAAUUUAAUAAAACUUUCGCGGUGGAUAAUUUGAAUAGUUUAAAUUAUAAAAGAUUCAAAUAGGAAUUAGAAUAGAAGACUCGGAGUACUGAUUACAAAAUAAUAUAUUCUUGAGGGGGUGUCGAUAAAUUUUCAUCUGUAUAUAGAGCAUCUCCCCUACCCCGCUACUUGAUUGUGCGUAGACUAUUUCUCUUUUUCUCCGUCGCUCAUCUCGUCUCCGGAGAAGAAACCCUCGGGAGCUCUCCCCUGCUUCCGAUUAGGGUUUCACCUCCGAUCGCCCCAUCGAUCCGAUCGCAUCGCGAAGAGUACCCGCUUCUCUCUCUCUCUGUCUUUGUGUCUCAGCUGCCGCCGCCGCAGCCGCAGCCGACAUCGCCGGCGCCGGAGGAAGAGGAGGAGGAGAUCGGCGUCGCCAUACUGGUACCUCCCUAAACCCCCUUGUUCUCUUCAUGUUCUAGCUGGGUAUGUAAAGGAUUCGUGGCGUGGAAUGGAGUGAGCCCUCAUUUGGAUCAGAUUAAGUCAAAAAACUGCUCGAUUUGGUGAUCAAUCCCCCGAUUGGGGUGUGAUUGAAUCGAAAUUGUGUUUACAGUUGUGGAUAUUUGAAUUAAACACGCACAUUGCCUGGGAUCCGACGUAGGAGUGAAGGAAUUUGGUUUUAAUCUGUUUUUGCGGUGGAAAUCCGUAGCGUAGGAUGGAGUGACUGACUUAUAAUUGCGUUUACGCUUGUGAAGAUUGGAAUUGAAUCAGGUGCAGGAGUGGUGGAAAUUGGUUUCAACCUGUUAGCGCUCUAGAAAUAUGAGAUGCAUUUAGGUUUCUGUUGUUGUUGUUGUUGUUUUUCUUUCUCUUUUUUAUUUUUAAAUUCAGAGUGUUGAUAGUCCUCUUGAAUUUUCUAUAUACCUCAUUUUUCUUUGUCUAAGUGGUAUACAAUGUGCACAUGGACAGUGUGCUUGUUUAACAUUUAAUUGUGAUGACGAUUGUAAGAAUUUAAGCUAUAUGGAAUCAAUAACAAAUGUAGCUUUUAUGGAAAAUAUCAAAAGAACAACUUUUUAGUUUGUGAUUCUAUAUUUCUAGACAUUUGGCACCAACAUUAUCUGGAACAGCAUAUGUUGUGGUAUGCGGCACAACACGGUGAUGCAGUACUUCAAUUUCUAGGAAUGUGGUAAAAGCUGUAAAAGUAAUCUGGGUCAUGCUUUGCUUGGAACAACAGUGCGAAUGACAUAUAUAUUUAUAUAAAAUUAGUUGGAUAGCUAAUCAAUUCAUUUCUUUACUAGAUACUUAUUCUUCUCUUUUUUUUAACCUUUUGUUUUCAUAGAUCAACCACUUUGUAUGGGUUCCAAAUCGGUUGAUGAUUUGCUGGAGACUUCUACAGAAGUUCAUUUUUCAGGACUUCAUUUAGAUGGGGCAGAGUCUAAAGAUUGUAAGGAGGAGCAUCCGACAACUUCAACAACAGAGAAUGGCCACAAAGAACCAUUUGUAAUAGGUUAGUAACCUGUAUAAGACAGUUUCCUUUUGUUGUUCUCACUGAUGAGUUGUUACUUUUAAUUGGUAACUGAUUUAUGUAAUGUAAGUGCUGAUCUCCUUUCUUGCUUGAGAAAAGGAGAAUUUUGAUUUCAAACUUUGUUAUUAUGGGUAGGAGAUAUCAAAUCACCUCAUAGCGAAUAAUAAAUUUGCAGAUGGAUAUGUCACUAAUGCUGCUUUUCUGGGAGAUUUAAUUUGUUUUCGUCCUCAUAUGGUAGGUGAAUUGCAUUGUGUUGAAGAUAUUUCUUGUGUACGUUUUACUAAAGCGAGCUUGGGGCGAGCCUUUGGUAACGCUAACAACAAGUCCACACUUAAUGAGGACUUGGAGCUUCCUUGUCCAACUGUAGAACUUAUUUCUAAUUAUCCUUCAUAAAAACACUCUGCUUUUUAGCUUUAAGAAAGCCCAAUGCGAAGUCCAAGAAAACCUUUUUGAGUGAGACUAUCUCAAUCUCUUUCUAUCCGAUGCCAGUCAAAGCACCUGAUGCAUUUUGAAGCCCAAGUUCAAUCUAGGCUGUCUAUCUUGUCUGCUUGUAGGUUCUUCUUGUACUGCUUCAAGAUUUGAUUUAGUUUUCUUUUUGCCAUUAACAAAACGUGCAAUUCAGAUUUUGAAAUCAACACUUAUAAAUGCUUAAUGGUUUUGCCAAAAGGAAAUGUAGUUGUAAUAUGAUAACUUUCAAAUACUAGCAUGUUGCUUGGCUUUAAUGAAAUCUCAAGCAUAAUGUAUUCUAUAUGAUUUUUUUUUACUUUUUCUGGGACAAGGUUUUCUAAUGCUUUGACUGGUAACAUUUUUUUUCUAACCUUUUCUCAUUUUGCUGACUAUCUCACAUGAAAUGGUCAAUGUUUGAUCCAAGGCUUUAAGUGCCCAUCGGCAUGGCUCGUAUCUACCAUGCCGUAUCGUGCCAACAAGAUAUCGGCACGAUACAACUCCCGUACCAACGGCAUUUCAAAACCCUAUAUUCUUUAAAUUAGUUAGUAAUUUUUUCAAUAAAGUUCAAAAGAUUUGAUAAAAAUAUAUAAUAAACAGUUAGAAUAUUUUGUUGCUAAAGAAAAUAUAUAUUUCAUGCUAUUAUGUGUUGGCACACAUGAAUUUUUUGUGACCGGCACGCAUCGGCAUGGCCCGGUAUGCACCAUGCCAUACCGUGCUGGCAAGUUUCCGGCACAACCACGUGCCACGACACUUAAAUCCUUGGUUUGAUCGCUUAAUUUACGUUUGACUCAGAAGCAACUUAUUUUUGUGCUAUCUACAGGUGUUGCUGGUGGUGCAGCUUCAGGAAAGGCACCUGUGUGCAAUAUGAUAAUUGAGCAGUUGCGUGAUCAACGGGUUGUCCUUGUGAAUCAGGUAGUUUCAGUCAGCUGCAAAUUUUUCUACUUUUGCAUCUUUUAUUUGAUUGGUAACAGAAAGGAUCACAUAUAUUUUCUUUCGAUAUAACUGUUCUAUUAAACACUGAGGAUGACAGGAAAAAUCUGAGUUAGAAAUUUAAUGGCAGAGGAGUACUUCGUUGCUUUCACGAUUGCGUCAGCUAACUGCACUAACAAUAGAACUUUUCCUAUUGGCUUUAUAGGUGCGUUUGGCUGUACUCCAGUCUCCAGCACCUAUACUAGAAUUUUGAUAGUAAGGUAAGGCAACAGCUGGCUGUAAUCUUGGCUAAAAUCUUUAGUAUGGCCUGCCCAACAGCGAGUCUGGUUUUAAUCAAGCCUUUAGUGUGUAAUACAAGCAUUGAUAUGAACCUGGUGAUUCUUCUCAAUUUACAACUUUGUUCUGCAAAAAUAGUUGUCAUGAGUAAGUCAUGUUCGUAUAGCAUUUGUAGUAGUCACUGGACAAUCAGUUAUAGUGUUAUUUUUUGUUUCAUUUAUGAUCGCAAGGGAGAUUUUUUUUUUUCCUUUUUCUUUUUUGGUUUCCUUGGGGGGGGGUGGGGGCCAAUUGGGGGGGCGUGGUGUGGGUGGCGGAGAGGAUACAGGACAGGUGGUCAUUAGAAUUAAGAUGGAUCUAUGUCUUCACAGUAAUAAAUAAUAAGCUAUUCUGUUGAGAGAACAAGCAUCUCACAUUGGUAUGCACCAUUGAAGAAAUUCUCUAGAUGAGAAUAAAUUCUCUUGAAGAAGGGUAGUAACAAUGGUAACCUAUAUGCUAAAGGGCUCUAUUACAAUCCCUCUUCUUUUUAAGUUUACCUGUGCAAGAAUCACAUGCAAAAUUUCUAGAGGGUUGAGUUAGGUUGAUAGUUGGUCAGAAAUAUGUGAAUUCUUUCUUCGAGCUUUCUUAGUUUUGAGGUGUACUCGGGCUAAUUGUUGGGAGAAAGUUAUGAUGGUGACAAGGAUAAUUACGGUGAUCACGAGUUUCUAUCUACAAAGGCUUGUCCAAUUAACUAGUGCAUAUUAUUGCCAAAAUGUAUUUUGAUACUGUUUACUUAAAUUGUUUCCUUUUGAUUAACACGCUAGGACUAAUAAAACAACAGUUCAUGCAAUUUUAACUUGACCUAUGUAUACACAUGAUAUUGCAGAGAUCAUUUUACUAUGAUUUAUCAGAAGAGGAAUUGGCUCGAGUUCAUGAAUACAAUUUUGAUCACCCAGGUAUUCUAUUUUUCUGGAAAAUUAAACCUGUUCACAUGAUUAUAAAUCUUUACAUUGUCAUAAUUAGUUAUCUAAUCAUUGCCAAUAGAAAUGCUAGAGUCAUACUCUUAUUUCUCCAUUUGAUACCCUGAUUUUUUUUUUUUCUUUGUUCUUCUGUGGCCACAAGAUCUAAUUGAAUGUUUCCUGUGUAAAAUAGGGAGAAAAAAAAGAAAAAAAAAAGAAAAAGAACCACAUUGAGUAGCUCUUUAGUCAAAAAUGUAUGCCAUCUCAUUUAUUCUACUUGAUUCAUGUAAUAAGGAUUUUGCUCUUUUUAUGGGAAUAUCUCUCUGUAAUUUCAGAUGCCUUCGAUACUGAAUACUUGCUUUCGUGUAUGGAGAACUUGAAGCAUGGGAUUGCUGUUGACAUCCCUAAUUAUGAUUUCAAAACUCAUAAAAGUAUAUUGCCACCGCGGAAGGUAAUCAAGUUGCUAAAGUUGUGGUUCAUAUUGUUUUAUAACACAUUGAGAUUCUGAGGAACCUGAAGCUUUGAGAGCACUUGCAAUGACAGCUAUCUUCCUGUUUUUCCUAAGACCAACAUGCCUUAUAUGUAAUUGUCAAUAUGAUUGUAUGUCCGUAUGGUCUCAUUAGACACUUCAUUUUUCUGUAGUAUUCUUUGUGUAUACUACAUAUUCUCACAUAGUUAAAAUGGAAAGCUUCAAAUUUACUUCAUUCUGACCUCCUAUUUAUACUUCCAUCUCGAAUUUCUAUGUAGAAAUGCUUAAUUGUGUACAAUUGAAAUUUCUUGAUCUGCUAAUCUUACUGCUCUGUGAAGUCGUUGGAAUCUGAUUUGCUGUGUUUUAUUGCUAUAAGUCAUAGGAACACUGGUGUUGUUUCAAGUUUCGACAUUUGAUGUACUCUUGAUUCAACAUGGUUUCUAUAACUCCUCUAGUUUUUUUAUUAUUAUUAUUAUUAUUAUUAUUUUUUUCUCUCAUGUAAGUGUACCAAUUCCCAAUUUUCUUGAUUCUUUUCAGGUCAACCCUUCAGAUGUCAUUAUUUUGGAAGGGAUUUUAGUAUUCCAUGAUCCACGUGUUCGCGAACUAAUGAAUAUGAAGAUCUUUGUUGAUACAGGUCAUAUCUCUCAUCCUCUUCUAUUAUGAACAUAUUAUACAUUAUAUACAUUUAUAUCAAUCAUGUAUAUCUUAACCAUGUAUCCUCAAUCUCUUGUUCAUGUGAAUUGGAGAGCUAUAGAUAACGAUCAUGUGAACUCUGGAACAUUACACAGUAUUAACGCAUGUUGUGUGCCAUGUCAUGUAAAAAGUGGUUGCAUGUCAUGAGUUUGCAACCUUGGCAGUGUUAUUGCUAUACUUAAUGCUUAGUGGUCUUCUGGGGUGCAUGAUGCGGUGCCUUGACUUUUGGUGAAUAAAGCCGAAAGAACUCUCAGCAUUUACCUAGUGUAUUUUAGCUAUUAAACAUUUUCUUGUCUGGGGUAAUUACAAUGAAUCUCUAAAUCCGUCUAAAUAACUGAGAUUCCCCUUGGUGCUUUUUACUGCAUAAGAGAAAUAUUUGCUGAUCAUAUUGAAAUUCACGUCUUAUUAUUACUCUUAUUUACUGCUGAAGAACUAUAAUGGAUAUAUUUCUUGUCUCAACUAAAUUCUCAAUCUUUGUCGUAAUUCAGAAAGAAAAAUACCUAGCUGUCUAAUUAAGAAUGUUUAUGGAUGUGCAUGUUACAUGCAUUCAGGUCAUGUAUUUUUCUAUAUUUUUCCUAGACAGUUGCUUCUGUACUAUUACUGCUGGGACCUCUGCUGUUAAGUUGUUACUUAUAGCCACUUAAUAUAUGCAGAUGCUGAUGUACGGCUAGCAAGGAGGAUUUGGCGUGAUACUGCUGAGAGGGGUAGAGAUAUCAAAACAGUGCUGGAUCAGGUUUGAUGUAGCAACUUUUCUUUUCUGUAGUAACUUUUUCUUUCUUAUCCUUCUUAUAAUUCACAGUGAUGUAUAUUCGUGGGUCCACUACUAGGUCAGUUUUGAUGUAAUAUUGACAUAGAAGAAAUCUUCAGAACCUCAUGUCUGGAUCAGUUAAUAUUCCAAAUUAUCAGAGUAUAUAUUUGUACUAGUCGACUAUUCUUGGUCCAAGUUGUUACAUACAGUUUUUUUUGUUUUUUGGAGGUUUCUACUUUUGUUAACUUAACAUUAAGAACUAGGUUAUUGGAAGAUGAUAAUGGCAAUGCUAAAUAUUAAUUUCUAUAAACAACUUAUACGUACAUUUAAACAAUUUAGUUUUUUCUGCUAAUUGCAGAUUGCAAGACAUCACAUCUGCUCUUAGGUUCAGAAGUUUUUAAAUCUAUAGCGCCCCAAAAUUUCCCUUGUAUUUUCUAAUAUUGUUUUAGAAUAAUGAACAUGAGUGAAGUUGGAUAAGAUCACAUAGAUAAAAAUCUGCGGUUUGACUGAGCUUAAGAAGAAUAAUUAUCUUUGGUAUCUUGAGGUACAUAAUGAAGGUAAAGCGAUUUCUAUCUAGGAGGCAUCAUCACUUACAAAAAUGGAAGUUGGAGGUGGUAGUUAGAUAAAAUACUUGGCUUGAACUUGAGUUUGGAAUAAUAAAGAAUAUUGGAUGGUGAAUGUAGUGAAAAAAGAGAAGGAAAUCUUUUGCUGAUUAGCGUAUGCCAAUUCACAGGAGUGAAAGGCAAAUAAACGAUUUCUUCAAAUUGGCAGAACGAAGGAUUUUUUGUAGUUGCCAUGGUUAUGAACUUAUGAUUAUUUCUUCUUGCCUUUAAAUGCAUAAUUUUCUUUGCAUCUUGUUCUUGCGAGUAAAUGCUAUCCAAUUUGUUUGCAGUACUCGAAAUUUGUCAAGCCUGCUUUUGAGGACUUCAUACUCCCGACAAAGAAGUAUGCUGAUAUUAUCAUUCCCCGAGGUGGAGACAAUCAUGUAGCAAUUGACUUGAUUGUGCAGCAUAUACACACUAAACUCGGUCAACAUGAUCUUUGUAAAAUAUAUCCAAAUCUGUAUGUCUUUCAAUCAACUUUUCAGGUACCGAAUGUACGAAUAUUGUACCUGAAAUUUUAUUCACAGUACAUUGCAGAUGCUUGAGUACAGGCUAAAAUUUUUGCUUUAUAUCAAGCUCUUUUAUAACUUGAUAUGUUUUGUUGAUCUGUGUGUCUUCAAAACUUCUUACAGAUACGUGGCAUGCAUACUCUAAUACGCGAUGCAAAAACUACAAGGGAUGACUUCAUAUUUUAUGCUGAUCGCCUGAUUCGCUUGGUUAGUAUAUAAGGUUCCUUUUUAAUAAAUUUUAUUUGAUACUUCAUCUUAUUUUAAUGCUUACCUUUUAACAGGUUGUCGAGCAUGGUCUAGGCCAUCUUCCGUUUAAGGAAAAGCAGGUGAUAACUCCAACUGGUAAGUAGGUGCCAUACAUUAUUACAAGACCAUGAUUGUGUUGGGCAUGUGCAAAUUGUUUAAAAACAUUAGUCGGUCGGUCAUUACUUGAUUAGCAUUCUUGUCUAAUUAAUGAAAUCACAUUGGAAUAUUAUCUUAUAAAUUCUCUCGUUUAACAUUUAUUUGUCAGUGUCAGUGAAGAUUGGUAGUUGUUUUUAAGCCUUCCCACCAGCCCAACUCUCUAUAGUCAAUUUAACCACUCUAAAUUGGAUAGAGACCUCAUAUUGUUAACGUGAGCUUGUUGACAGCUGAAGACAGAAAGGAAUUAAUUAGUAUUAGUUCUACUAUUCUCAAAAAUCACACUUAAUUCUAGAUUAUAAGUAACUAAUCAAAGAUCCUAGCAAGACAGUGCUUGUUGUAGAGGAGGUAGAUCUUGCCGUGGAUCUCAGUAGCAUUGGUCAAGUUGGGCGGAUGGCAUCAUCGAUUUUGAGGAUGGUGGAGGAGCAGAGGCGACUGAUGGAGUGGUGGAGGAGAUCUGAGACGACGAGGAGAAGAGAGCUACAUGGGGGAACAAGUUGAGCUAUGCAUGGUCAAGGGAGGAGAUGAAGCAGGCGACAGCAGGGACAGAGAGGAAAGGGAAGAGGCAAUAGAGCGGAGGUUGUCAGAGAGGACAUCAAAGCUGAAGCAGUGCUGAAGGAGGUGAAUCAUGUCCUGGAUGGACUUGGUGGAAGGGUCUGAUGAGAGGGCUUGGAAAGUGAUGGGUUCAGAGAUGAUGAGCUCAGUGUCGGAUCAGUGGUGAUGCAAGGGUGGUAUUGGAGGUUGUAGCAUUGAUUGAAAAAGAAAGCAUUGAUGGGAAAGGAAUGCUAGGCAGAGCUAUUAGGGGGAAGGGUAACUGAGUUGUGCAGCAAGGUUUUUUUCUGCAAUGGUUGUCAGCCGUUGAAACAUAAAAGUUGCACCUGAACCUCCCCCCACCCACCCGACAAUAAAGAAAAUUCUAUUAUCGACUAGGAAAUCCAUCGCAAAGUGGACAGAAUACCGCAAAUAAUUUGAACUGUUGCUAAAAAUAUUCUUUGGUGAUGAUUGUUGUGAUCAUGGCUACAGGAGCCAUCAGUAGACAUCAAAUCUCUGUUGUGAAUAUGCUGUCCCUGCAGUCCUGCUUAUUUGUUUUUGCUAUAAUGUGGUGUGGAAUUACUUUCUCAACAAUAUUGGUUCAUUCUGAUGCUUGUCUUAUCUGUGAUGUUAUGAUGCCAAUUUAUGCAUAUUAAAUUCUGCUUGGAAGGGUAAAUACUUAUGUGUAUUUACUAUGUACUGCAGGAUCUGUAUACACUGGAGUAGAGUUCUCUAGAAGAUUAUGCGGCAUUUCAGUUAUUAGAAGGUAAUCAUUUCAACCCUUUUUGCAGCGUUAUCUGCUAUCAUGUUGACAUAUCAUAGUAGCAGGGGCUAUGCAGGAACACUUCAUGUUCAAACUUGACAGUCUCUUUGAUGGUAGUCUAAUGUAUAUAUAUGUAUUAAUGAAGCUCACUCGUCCUUUAAAUUUGCAAACAUCUAAGCCUUGAAUAAAUAGGAAAUGAGUUUAUUCAACCUGUUAUUUGUAACCCUGAUCUCUCUCUCUCUCUCUCAUAUCUAUAUAUGUGUGUGCACACUUCCUUUGUCUCUCUUACUCGCGCUUAAUUUUGAUCACCAAAAUGUAUCUUGUGAUUUUAUGUUGUAUCUAUUAUUAAAAUGCUUCCAGUGGUGAGAGCAUGGAGAAUGCACUGCGGGCUUGUUGUAAAGGCAUCAAAAUAGGGAAGAUCCUUAUCCACAGGGAAGAAGGAGAUAACGGCCAGCAGGUUCGCAGUUAAUCAGCUGUAUCUUUGAUUUAUCCCCAUAGGUUAAUUUUCUGAGUAAUCUCCUCUUUUUUUCAGCUUAUCUAUCACAAUUUGCCAAAAGAUAUAUCAGAUAGGCAUGUUCUUCUGUUGGAUCCAAUACUAGGCACAGGUUAGUUCGUUUAAUUUUAAUCACUCUGGAUUUGAUUGUGUAAAAAGAUUUUCUUUCGUUCCCAAUUGCCGCUAGCAUUGAUUUUCUUCACCUGUCUGUACGAAGUUUAGUGAACUUAAUCAUUGGCCAAUUUAAAACUCUGGAAAAUUGUUGUUUUAUUGAUAAAAAGCCCCAUUAACAAGUUAAUUGUAGAAUGAUAUCAGGUAUGUCCACCUUGCCUAGUUGAUUGUCAUGCUGAUGUGUCCCUUUUUAUCCUCUUAUCCUGUGCCAGGCAAUUCUGCUGUUAAGGCUAUAUCUUUGCUCCUGUCGAAGGGUGUACAGGAGGCCAAUAUUAUAUUCCUUAACCUCAUAUCUGUAAGUUUGGGUACCCCAAGGACUUCUCCUCUUUCCGAACUCAAAUUCUUUCAUUUCAUCGCCAAGGUUCUGUUUUAUAAUCUGGUGCAUUUGGUAUGUGAGGGAGAAAUGUUCAAAUGUAGGGAGACUAAAUUAAAUUUUUGUCAGUCCACUGGCGUGUCAUGCGAACGAACUUCAAGAUUUAAAAUACAUAAAACAUAAUAAUGCUUUUGAACAAAAGCCUAGACUAUCUAAAUCGAUACACUCCAGCCUUCUCAGUAUCUUAUGCAGAAUUUUGCUGAAAUUGCGUAUGUUCCCAUGAUCAGGCUCCUCAGGGAGUACAUGUAGUUUGCAAAAGGUUCCCGAGGAUUAAGAUUGUGACAUCUGAGAUUGAGUUUGGGCUAAACGAGGAUAUCCGUGUCAUUCCUGGCAUGGGCGAGUUUGGAGAUAGGUACUUCGGAACAGACGAGGAUUAGGCAAAAGACACCGAAUUCAGUAAGUUGUUUCUUUAGCAUUGCGGGUUAUUUCACAAGAACAGUGUAGAACACCAUGCAUCGGGAAGCCUAACUCUUUUAUGUUUUCUUUUUCGUUUUUUUGUAGGAAUAGACUUUUUUGUUCUGAGUGACAAUUGCGGUUAUAGGUAGCACGGUAUUUUUCGAGUGAUCUCUGUUCCUAUUUGAACUCCUUUUUGUUGCCCGUGUCGGUGUGUGCGCUUCAUUGUUAUCUUUCUAGACGCAAAUGUAAUAUGCCAUCCUCAUUUACUUACCUGAUUAAUUCGACUCCAACUAUUUGGGGAUUACAUGAUAUGUGUUUUAUAUUUUCAUAUAUUUCCCUAAGAAUAGAUUGAUUGUGCUUCAUCUAGGGGUCAUCGUAUUUUCGCUCUCAUGUUAUUUGAAUGAUGUUAGCCUGUUACACACAUGCAGUCGCAGAGCCAGGAUUCUCAUCUAGCACGAGCACUGCAGAAACUACAAAACAGUUAUGUAAAUUUGUGCAACUUAAUUAAAACACAGUUGCUAUUAUAUUUGGUUUUUGAACAAAGUGAUGUGAAUCACUCCUACAUGAUGCUGCAUCGAAAGAUCAAGUCGAAAACUUUCAACAAAUAAACCACUCUACAAACGAUCUUGUGAUCAAACUUAAAAAAGAGUGGAAAGCGGAGGAAGCGCAUAGAGAAUUAAAAGCAAUAAAGCUCUUGUAAUUAUGCAGUUUAUAUCGUGAUAUUCAUUUGUUUCGAGAUAUUGGUAAAAACUUUGGUACUAUUUAACAAUUUCUUAUUUUUGAGGAAUUAUUGCAAUAUUGUUAUUAAGGAAAUAGGUGUAAGUACAAUUAUCGAUAUAUUCUGAAAAGUUGUGUGCACAAAUUUCUUUUGCUAUUCUAGGUGCAACUUUUCUUGUUAAUUAUGCAGUGUAUAGAAAAGUAGGUUUAGGUGAUAUUCUAUUUGGCGCCAAAUCUAAAUAGAAUUCUAUGGAAUAGCAAUAAUUAUAUAGUAAAAAAAUUCUGACCAAAUUCAAUAUCAAUAUUACGGAAAUUGGAUCAGAGUUAUUUGUGUUAUUAGAAAGUUUGCUAAAUCAUUCCAAAUUAAUUGAAUUUUUAUUAAUAACAAACAACUAAUUUGUAAAAAUUAGAAUUUUAAUUAUUUAGAAUUAUAGAAUUAGUGGCCAACACUAUUAACCGGUUUAAUUCGACCAUCAUUCAUCCAUUCUCAACCCGGACCGGACGGUUCACUUUCUAGGGCUCCCGCAGCGGUUAGACACUCCAAUCGGACGGUGAGGCGACUCCGAUCAAAUCGAUCUAAAAUUUCGACGGUCGAGAUCAGACGAGUCCCCGCCACCUCUCCGACU